AAGAUAGAGCUAUUGUUUUAUUCUUUCGAUCCCUAAGGAUUCAAAUUCCAAAAAUAUAACUAGCUUUAACCAAGUCCUUCAUGCUAAACUGUUGAACAAACAACAGUUUAACUAAUGACAAUUCUCCUACAUUAUUUUCGAUAAGUAGAAUAUUAUCAACAUACAAAAUAAAGAAGGCCACUUUUUUGUCCUUUAUAUGCUUAUAAACACAAGGUUCAUCAGUGUUUUACUCAAAUUCAAAAGUUUUGAUCGUUUGAUCAAAUCUUUUAUUCCAUGAGCGGGACACUUGCUUAAGUCCAUAAAUGGAUCUUAGCAGUUUGCAAACUCUCUGCUCCUUUCCUUUGACAACAUAGCCAGUGGGUUGAGCUAUCUAAAUGGUCUUAUCAAGAUAGUCAUUCAAUAAUGUUAUCUUAACAUCCAUUUUCUAGAUAUCAUAAUCGAGUUCAACGGCUAUGGAUAAGAGUAUGCAGAUAGACUUGAGCAUGGCUACUGGAGAAUAGGUUUCAUCGUAAUGAAUGCAUUCUUUCUAUUUGUAGUCUUUCCCUACAACUCUAAUUUUGUGUGUUUCCACUUUCCCUUCCGCAUUUCUCAGCAUCCAUGUCUUAUUUCUAGAGCUUGGAAUCAACGUCCUGCAUAGUCUCAUUGUAAGUAUGUGGAUCAUCAUCUUCAUGAUUGGCUUCCGUAUUAUAAAUAUUACCAUCAUAGAUAAAGAAGUAUGGUUUCUUAGAAACUCUCCCACUACGACAGGUUCCUCUAUGUUGUUGAUCGUUUCCAGGUUUUCUUACAACUUUCUUGAGAACUGAACUUGGUGAUUGUUCUACUACUCUUGAAAGUUUCUCAAGUACGACUUUACUUCGAGGCUUAAAGUUAUCCAUGUAGCUUUCCUCGAUAAAAGUAGUAUGAGUAGAAACUUUAAUUGUAUUAUCUUUUGGAUUGUAGAAUAAUCCUCCCUUUAUUCUUUUUAGAUAUACUACAAACAUGCACAAUUCUAUCCGUGCAUCCAACUUCUUUGCAUUCUUAUCUAGAACGUGUGCUGGACAACCCCAUAUUCUAAAUUGAUUUAGAGUGAGUUUCUUUCCAUGCCACAGUUCAUAAGGUGUCUUACAAGAAGACUUGGUUGACACAUCAUUUAAAAUAUAGAAAGCCGUUUGUAUCACAUAUUACUAUAAGGAAAUAGGACGUUGUGAAUAGCUUAACAUUAAACAAACCAUGUCAAGCAAUGUUCUAUUCCUUCUCUUAGCUACGCCAUUCUAGUAUGGAGUGCCCGGCGCAUUCAAUUGGGAUAAAAUCUCAUUCUCUAUGAGGUAACCUAAGAACUCGUCGGACAAGUAUUCUUUACCUCAGCCAGACCGAAGAUUAUUUAUGGAUAAACCUAAUUGUUUUUUCACUUUCGUACGAAACUUUCAAAAUUUAUCAAAGGUUUCACUUUUGCGGUGCAUUAGAUACACAUAUCUAUAUCAAGAAUAGUCGUCGAUAAAAUUCACGUAAUAACCGUAACUUCCUUAGGCACUAAUGCUCAUGGGACCACAUACAUCAGUGUGUACAAGUUCUAAAGGUUGGUUGGCCCUUGUACCUUUCUCAUUAAAAGACCUCUUAGUCAUUUUACCUUCCAAGCAAGAUCCGUAUUGUGGAAGACUAACUUCCUUAAGCAUACUUAAGAGGCCAUCUUUCACGAGUCUAGUAAUUCUUUCUUGGUUAAUAUGACCAAGUCUUAAGUGCCAUAAGUACCCCUCAUUAGAGUGAGAAGUUUUAAGCUUUUUAUUCAUUAUUUAAGUUUGAAGCAUUGAGUAGUUAUUAGGUUUGAUAAAGUAGAGAUAGUUUUCCAUCCAUCAAUUUGAGAUUAAAAAUUGAUUUUCGUGAAUAGCAAUCCCUUUAUUGAAUGUCACAGUAUAACCGUCAUAAAAUAAACAUGCUAAAGAAAUUAAAUUCCUCUUAAAAUGAGAUACAUAAAACACAUUCUUUAAAAUAAUCUUCCUAAAACUAUCAAAGUGUAAAAUAACCUCUCCCAUUGCUUCGAUUGAAACAUAGAUCCCAUCUCCGGUUCACAACGAGAGGCUCCUGUCAUACAAACUUCUUGUUUCACUAAACUCCUGUAAAGAAACACAUACAUGGUUAGUGGCUUCAAAAUCAAUAAACCAGUUUUCAAUUGAUUCUUCCACUAAGCAAGCUUCAACCACAAAGAGUUACAUACCUUUUCCCUUUCAGCUAGGUAAUCUAUUGUAGUUUGAUUUGAAAUGCCCUUUUUGGUUGUACAAGAAACAUUUGAUCUUUUUAGGAUCUUUUCACUUCUUAGCCUUCUUCCUAUCCACAUGAGGUGGAACUAAAGACUUAGUUAGUUUCUUCUUUCCCUUAGCUUUUUGUUUCCCCUUAAAAGACGAGGGGCCUACAACUAAGUUUGCCUCAGGUUUUUCCUGAACCGACUUACUACCAUUCAGUAUCAACUCAUAGGAUUGUAAUUCCUUCAUGAGUUGAGUCAAGGUAAGCGCAUUGUUCCCCAACUUGUAAGCGGCCCUAAAACCAGCAAACUCCUUAAUUAGGAUUUGAACACUAUUUCAAUUUGCGUGUUCAUGUAUAGUUCAACCCCAUUAUCAUGCACUUCUACAAAGAAUCCCAUAAGCUUAAGCAUAAGUUGUUUGACUGGAGUGCCAGUUUUCUGUUAAGAAUUCAUAAAAUUUGUAAUAGCAGAUUGUCGAGCCAAUACGACUUGGCCUCCGAGCAAAUCUUUCAAAUUUUUCAUGAUCUCUUUGAUAGUACGAAAAUUCUCAUGUUGCUUUUGCAACACACUACUCAUGCUCACUAACAUAUAGCAUCGAGCAAUCGAGUCAGAAUCUCUCCAGUGAUUUCUCGCUUUGGGCUGAGCUUCAGGAGGGCAUGUUUCGUUAAGACCAAAUUUUUGUUUCUCACAACUGAGAUUAUCAGCAAGUUCUGUUUACAUUCUCGAAAGUUAUCCCCAUUUAAUUUAUUCUCAGUAAGAAUUCUAAUAAGAAAAGUAGGAGAAAUAUUUAAACUGAAAAAAAAUAAAGAUUUCAUUAAUUACUAUUUUUGUAUUAAACAAAUAUUUUCCAUUUUAGCAACAUAUUAGGAAUGCAGUAUGAUGCAAGCAUCUUGUAUUAAAACCUUGAAAAAAUAUAUAUUUUUUUGUUGUUACGAUCAUUCUCACCCCCACCAACCAUGUCACCUUGGGGUCCCAUGAUUAACUAGCAAAAACAUAGACUAUAUCCAAUCAGUUCAUGAAUCUUAAUUCUCAAGACUCCACACAAACUAACGAUUGUUUAACGUUUGACCAUCAUCUCUAGCUUAAAUAUCAUUUCUUGGGAAACUAUUUACUAAGAGAUGAUCUUAAGUGUUUAACCAUUGACUCAACACCCAUCAUGAACAUGCUCUCAUUUAUGAGUCAUCUUGGGACAAUCUCUCUGAAAGUCAUGCAUGACUAGUUGUCCUUAAAAGAAAAUCUCAUCUAGUGAACCCACAUGAUAAAGUUUACACUGGGGUAUGGCCAGGGUAGGAACCGGCUCAAAACUUUAUCAUGCUAUCACUUAGGGGCCAUCAAUGGAGGCCGUAGGUCUUGUUCAAAGAUCUUCUCCCACUCAAUAUUUUAAAAAAAUGCAAGGUUUUUUAUCCCAAAUUUCAAGAAUUAUCAUACAAUAGUCCUAAUGGCAUUCUUAUCUAAUCUAAAUGACAUGCUUCCAAUAUAUGCAUGGCAUGUUAUGUAAAUUUUAUAAUAUCCAUUCACAAGAAUUAAUCAAUGAUAAAAACAAACAUUUUGAUUUUCCAUAGUUUUUCUUUUAAGGGAAAAAAACUGAAGAAGUGAAUGAAAACGGUGCACCAGGUAGGGUCCUAGGAAAGGAGAAGAGUCAAGUUUGACCGCUUAAAACCCAAGUCUUUUCUAGCUAGAGCCAAUACUAGACAUGCACAUUAUCAUUACCACACUUCUUACAGUUAUCGAAUAACCUAAAAAAGUGAAUAACACACAUAUUUUCUCAUUACCACACUUCUUAUUUUUUAUUCGAUCAACUGUGGAUCAUCUCAUAUAUAUAUCACAAUUAUAACAUUACAUAAUAUUAUAAAAAAUUAUAAAAGAGAUAUAUAACGAGAUAGGUAAUUAAAAUAAAAUUAUCAGUCAAGGUUUCCAUGGUUCUAUUUCUAGAAAAUAAAUGGAAAAAUAAAAUUAAAUAAAUUUUCACCACGAGGUAUUCCUUGGGUCUUCAACCACCAUCGCAUCUUUUCUUCAUCAUUGACUCCUUUUGGAAAAAUUACAUCUAAGUCCUAUGUCAGUUUCCAGUUCACAAGAAUUCUAUGAAUUUUAAAAAAUAUAACCCUGCGUGGAGAUGAUAGUCCACGGUCUAUUUCCGAAGAACGACAACCUCAGCAAAAAAUAAUUAUAUAACAAAUAUAUAAUAUCGCAUCCAUUCCCAUAUACAACUUAAAACAUGCAUAAGAUCUAAAUAAUAUCACUUUCUAUGUAAUCAAAUCAUUCAAAAAGAAGAGAAAUUUAUUUUGAUUAUCUUUUUAUACUUAUAGAUAGAACACAACUUGGCUCAUGAUACCAAUUGUUGGAAAAAAUAAAUAGGUUUGAAAAAUGCAGCAAAAAAUAAAUUUAGGGAAAAACCAGAGUUUUAAUUUUUUUCCAAAUUAAUAUAUUGGUUGUGAUAUCUAAAAUAGUAAAUACUUAAUCAAAAUUGUACCUUUUCAAUUCGUCUAGUAUAAGCGCUUCAACCGAGUAGUUUUCUUCGCUAUCCUCGAGCUCACGUCUGCCGAGUGUGGGCUCGCUUCAAAUUAGAAAAUUUUUCACAAAACUCACUAGUGGGGUAAUUUUACAAUUUCUAUAAACUUUUGGGUCAAAUUGUAAAUCAGAAAACUAUCUCUAGAAAUUUUCUGGAAUAAUCUCUUCAGAAAAUUUUCUCUCUACAACUUUCUCUUGAAUUCAAGUGUGUGCAAAUAAUGACCCAAGGCUCUCUUUAUAUAACGAGAGUUUAGAGAGUUCAACUAUGAUUAAACUUAAUCACUUUAAUAUUAAAUCUAAUAUAAUAUAAAUAUUAAAUUUAAUUUAAUAUUAAAUCUUGUUAAAGUAAUCGAAUGUUUAUCUUGUAGAUAAACAUUAAAUUUAAUUUAAUAUUAAGAUAAUUACUUUCAUAUUAAAUUAAUAAAAUACUAUAAAGAUAAGUAUUAAAUUUAAUUUAAUAUUAAACUAUUAAAAUAAUAUUAUUUUUGUAAUAAUUAAUCUGAAAUCAAAUUCUCUGGUAGAGUCCCAGUGGAAGUGUAACUCUUCUAUUGCUCAACUAUUGACGACCAACUAUUUCCGGCUAUCGGGACACCGCCGUUGCAGCCAUCGGCACCGCCGUGUCUAGUGAUGCAGGUGCAACACCCUUACGACACCUUGAGCUAGUUCGGCUACUGUCGGUUCAGUCCAGAUCAAUGAUAACCCGACCGGUCUGGUUUAGCCACCGGUUGGACUUUCAGCCUGGUUUCACAUACUAGGUCCGGUUCGACCAGUUUUUGGGUCUUAGUCUCAAUUUUGGGCUCCCGGACCCAAUUUACAAUCUCAGGUCCAAUUUUCAAAUUUAAUUACUCAUUGGGCCAAUUGUAUGACUUGAAAAUUAAUUUCUAAAAAUAUCAUAUUAAUUUUAAUUAAUUUAAUUAUACUUGGUCAAAAUUAAUUUUUCAAAAAUCACUUAAAUUUUCCAAAUUGAUUUUUCAAAAAUUUUCUUUAAUCAAAUUCUCUAGUUGAACAAUUCUUACAACCACCUAAUUUAAUUCCAUAUGGAAUAAAUCAACUCAAUUAAAUUAUUCCCAAAGUCGUAGAAUUUUCUUUUGAUUCAAAUGCAGUCCAAUCGAGCUUUUCUUGAGCUAACGGAGGGAUCAAUUGGACAUAUACAAUUAGGCUCUAGUGAUUGCAAUUAUGUCCAAAAGCACCGUUUCAAUAAUUCGCAAUUACUUAAUCAUGGAGUUACUCCAUAAAAAGUACCAUGAUUGAAAAGUCCUUAUUGUGUACUCUUUACGAAAGCAAUUUAUCCAACUUCUUUGUCCAAUGACCUCUUCAUGUGUGUGUUACCCUCAUAUGAUAUCAUUGAUUCCUUUGAGUUAAAUCCAUUCACUCAAUACAAUCUUAUUUCAUCUCAUUGUCACCAUUGUGUCUUCUUAAUUAUUAAUAUAAUCACUGUCUACAAAUGACUAUGAUAAAUUGCUUGUUUGAAAACAAGCAAUUUAUCAUAUAAUCACUGUCUACAAAUGACUAUGAUAAAUUGCUUGUUUGAAAACAAGCAACCCGUGGCCACGUUCCAUAUUUAUCAAUCCACACAAUGCCAAUGAAAGGAUAUCAUUAACUUUUUAAUUGAGCUAUGAAUUCCACUGUUGCUAGUAAAGCCAUGCCAUACACAAGUCAUGUACCCAACAUACCGGCUAUGGUUUUGAUCAUCUUUAGAGCAUAAACCUCCACUUAUAUCAAAGCACAUGAGUUGCAUAUGCAUGGUUAGUGACUAACUCAAGAUUUAGGUAAAUCACACUAUGAAUGUUAGAAGUGAAUUAAUUCACAAAUAGAUUCAGAAUUAAUUCAUCUAUGAUCUAGUCCAAUGUAUCAUCCUACCAAUGAAUACAUUUAUGUCUCUACUCGUGGAGUGAACUGCUCCGAUAACCAAGACCAGUCAUCUCUCCAAUUGGAAUUGUAGACAACAUAAUAAUCCUUCUUAAUAUUUGAAUCAAAUGCUCACUUUGAUUCUUUUACGAGAUUACGAACUCAUUUAGAUUAUCUACUGAAGUAAGUUGUCUUUCUCGUAAUGUAAAUAUUCUUACAAUGUCACUUAUUUUCCAUUUGAACUUAGACAAUCAAUGAGUUAAUAUUUGCAUGUCACAAUUUCGAUAUGCAUGCAAAAUAUACAAGACAGAAUAGUGAAAUGUGAAAUUAACUUUAUUUAUUUAUUUAUUUUUCAAGUAAAUAAAAAAUAGUUACAUGUUUACUACAAUAUGGGCACAUUUCCCAACAAUGUGAUCCACACAGGCUACCACAUAGCCAUGUGUCAGACCAUGUGGAAAUCGUGAACUGCACUCCAAAAACAUGGAAAAAUGAAAUUUUUAUAUUUUUUGAGCAUUCUAAUACCUAUAUAUACCAAAUAUAAGAAGAGAGGAAAGAGUAGUCAGAAAAUAUUUAAGAAAACGACUCGAAAGACACCAUUGACGCUGACUUUGAAGAAAAUUUCCAUCAAGUUGAAGAUCUCAUUUUGAUUUCUUUGAAGUUUAUUAUAAGUUUCUUUAUUUCUUGUGGUUAUAUUGACUUUGAUAUGUUUUUAUUUGCGAUUAUGAACUAAUUUUCCAAAUACCUAGGAAGAUGAACCCUAGGAUGGAUUCUAUUAUUUGAUUUCUAUUUUUAUGCAAUAAAUAUUUGAAUCUUGUUCUCAAUUAUGUGUGCUUAAUUCUUGGUUUGAUAUUUUUAGAUUAUUAAUCCAUAUUUGAUGUGUUUAAAUUAGAGGAGGAAUAGACCCUAUUUAAAAGUAGAUUUAGCGUAAUUGAGUGGAGUUGCAUGCAAUCCUAAAAAUAGGACGACAUAAAUCUAUCGGAUCAGAGUAAAAUCUAAUAGGAGAAUCCAAGGGUUUAGGGUUUAGGUUUAGAUUAAGUUAAUGUGAUAAUAGGGAUUUUAAUUAGAAAGAAAUUUCAAUUAAUCAACCUAGAGUUAGUUGCUCUUAGUCUUGAAGAGAGAUAUUAGCAUAAUUUAGGGAUUUCUAUGGAUCAAGAUACUAAGUGAAGAAAUUGUGUAAUUUAGAUUGAUAAUAACAGAUGAAACUUAGGUGGAUUCUUUCUUGGGUAUUGUCUCGCUUUUUAAUUGUUAAUCAUUUAUUUUCCUGAUUUGUUCUUUGUCGUGUUCUUUAGUUAAUUAAUUUAGUUAAUUUUAGUUUUAAUCAAUCACUCCAAUUUGUUGGUUAAAUAAUAGAAAUAUGGCAAUUACUAGUACUUUUAGUCUUCGUGGGAACAAUAUAUGUGCUCACCAUAGCUAUACUAUUAAUUGAUAGAUGCACUUGUCUUAGGCAGAUUUGUAGUUGGUUUCAUGGACAUCAUAAGUACAUGGUAGAUAUGUGCAUAUAGUUAUACAUGUUUUCUUAGGAUAGAAUUGUUAAUGCAAAUAUUAGGUAUUUGAAUUAUAGAAAUACCAUGGAGUUAAUUACUCAAUGUAUAGUCUUGUUUUCCAUGCGUCUAUUUGAGUUUCCAGAACAUUAAUUUAGCAUCCAAACAAUACUCCAGGACUCAACAAAGUUUAUUUGUUUUCUUUUUCGUUAGUAACUUGGCAUGUACGUAGAUAAUUGAGUCAAGUUGUUUUGAUUCUAAACCUUUGUAACUAUUGAAGUGGGUGUUAAUGCUUAGUUUUGGCUAAAUGAUCAUAUGAUGUGUAUAGUCUUAUAUAUACAUAUAUAUAUUAAUGUGUUCAAAGUGGUAUGAAUAGUUAGUAUGUUGAAUGUUGAUAGAUUAUAGGUAUAUAUAUAUACACAUAAGUAUUUGAAUGUUAUAUGGUUGUUGUAUAAUUUGUAAAGGAUAAGGCAUUUACUUAGUUUAAAUAUGAUAGUUGAUAGGUUUGGUUGGUAUGAAAUAAAGCUUAUGUGUGUAAAUAGGUAUGGUAUAAACAUGAAUUAAUAGGUAUGGUAAAGAUCAUAGUUAAAAUGGUGUAAAUUGUUUGAACUAAUUUAAGUUGCAUUAACAGGUGAAUUGUUUUGGGUGAUUGAAUGAAUUUGAUGGAAUGAAGCAUUAUAAAUAUAUGAUUGAGAAGUAUUAUAAGCAUAUAGGUAUUGUUCAUAUGGUCAAAACAUGAUAGAAUUUUGAUUAUGCAUUGAAUUAUUUGAAAUUACAGGUUUAUAAAUGGAAAAUUGCAAGUUCAGUAGGUGACAUCGUGACAUCACACGAAUGUCAUCGAGACAAGUUUUGGUCUGUGCGACGAUGGAUUUCGUUGCCACAACGAGAAGGCCUUUGGCCAAGUCAGUAUGUCAUGUUGUGACAAGGAACCCCUUCACGUCAUGAUGUCGAUCCUGAAAGUUUUGAAGUUUUUACAUUUCAGUCAUACUUUAAUCUCGAAUUAGUUUUAGAGCUUUCGUAAGCUCAUGAAUGACUCGAGAUUUAUUGUAUAUCAUAUUGAAUGUAAGUUUGUUUAAUUUUAACCAUCAAAUUGUAUAAUAUAAAUUUUGAAUUGAUCGUAGUUGCUCCAGCAAUGAAUGUAACACACUAUAACUGGGACCCGACGAUUGGGUCCAGUUUAGGGUGUUACAUAAUUAGCUAUUAAGAAGUACAUUGUUAAAGCCUUCAUAGAUUUCAACGUAGUUAAUGUAUCUACAACUACAACAUAUGUUGCAUCCUCAAUUAAUUGUGGCAAAGGGUGUAGUUGAUGAACUAGAGCAUCAUUUCUAAAAAAGAAACAACUUUGGGAAAUCACAAAGUAUAACGCUCCUCACAUAUGCACGGUUGCAAGGAUAACUAAAUAUCGUCAUAAUUUGGGAUUCAACUAUUAGAAUUUGUAAAAUAAAUCUGAAAUAAAACUUAAUAAACUAGGAUCUAUCGUACCAGGAUCUAUUAUGUCAAAUCAUCAAGAAUAAAUCAAGAACAAAACUAGAUGUGGAAGCGUACCUAAAUCCAUAAAUUCCUUAAAAUUUUACCGAAUCUUGGGGAUUCUUCCAAAUUAGCAGACAAGAAUUUCAGAGAAUAUCUGCUCUCUCUUUCCUAAUGAUAGGAUAUUAGAAAAGAUAUCUUGUGUAUAAUUUGGGGACCAUAACCCUAAUAUUUAUAACCUUGGUAUAUUAGUUCUAAUCAAAUUCUAAUUAGCCCAUCAUUAAUUAGAAUUUGAUUAGAACUCAAUUACUAGAGUAUCUACAUAUAUUUGACCCAUACUUUAUUUAAUAAUUAAAGCCCAAUAAAAUUUUAACCAAAUUAGAUCACUUUUAAUUUGGGCUAACCUAUCAUGAUAGUAAAUAAUAACAUGUAAUUACCCUUAUGAUAUAUGUGAUGUCCAUAUUUUCCAACAAUCUCCCACUUGGACCACAUAUAUAUACUAAUUACUCUAUAAUUACAUGUCAUUAUAUAACCUUAUGAGCACAAAAUUUUACUAUCAUAUCAAAAAGAUAUUCCGAACAAUCUCGUCCAUUAAUUAUGUUAACAUAGAACCAAGGUGACUUUCGUUACAUAUAUUGUAACUAAAUUCAUCCAUGAUCACGUAUAUUAACACAACUAAAUGACAUAGAUCAAGUAUGGAUUUGUAGCAUGAAAAUUACAUGCAAUAUGAUCUAAACAUGUCUAUUUCCAACUGGCCCUCCUUAGUGAGAUCAAACCUUCCAAAAUCAGAGUGUGAAUAAACCAAAUAAACUUUAUUUUUGCAGUAAAUAAACUUAAUAUCUUUAAAUUGAAAUAAUUGAAAAUGUGUCUAUAACAUAAAAUCAUUUAAAAAUAUAAACUUCCACUAAAACCAAAUAUCCUUUAAAUGACAUUACACCCAUAUGAGCAGUGUGCUCUUAUAAAACCUUAAGUGUAGUUCCUUAAUAAGCAGAUCCGCAAUCAUGGAGUUUGCCCUAAUAUGAUUUAUAAGCACCUAACCACUCUAAACUUUUACUUUAACAACCAUGAACUUAAAUUUUAUGUAUUUUUACUUUGAUGUACUCCUGUUGCUAUUGGAAUAAAAGACAGCAAUUUGUUUUCACAAUUUGCACCUUAGUGAAAAAAUCUUGUAUCCAUAUUCCACCAAAAUCAGAGUCUAUAUACCUGAUGAUCUCUAACUGAUUAGACCUCCGAUAUGUGAGCAUGUAAUAUUUUGUUCUCUGAAAAUACAUUAUAACCCUCUUGGAUGCUAUCCAAUGGUCCAAACCAGGGUUGCUUAAAAUAUCUGCCUAACAUCCCAAUAGUGUACACAAUAUUCCAAUGUAUACAAACCUGAAAAUACAUUAGACUUUCUAUUGCUAAAAUGUAAAAAAUCUAAUGCAUUUGUUGUAAUCUCAAAAUAUUUCUUAAGGCAUUAAUUGAGGCUAUACUUAUUAUUGACAAGCAGUAUGUCAUUAAUAUAUAAAACCAAAUAUAGAACCUUACUCCCACUAAACUUAUGGUAUAUACGAUUAUCAAUAAAAUUCAUCUCUAAAUCGAAUGAGAUAAUCAUUUGGUAAAUUUUGUAAUAUUAUUGGCGAGAAGUCUACUUAAGCCCAUAGAUGAAGCUCUUUAAUUUGCAAAUCAUUACCUUUGCAUCAUCAGAUACAAAGUUUUCUAAUUGCACCAUAUAAAUGAUUGAUUAAUGUUACCAUUGAGAAACCAUUAACUUAAUAUUCAUCUGAUGUAGCUUAAGGUCAAAAUAUUCCAUUAAAGCCAUUAUAACCUUUUUCUCUAGUAGACCUUUUUAAUGGCAUUCAUUCUUGAGGUUGUUGAGUUUAUUCUUCUGGAACAAUACCUUAUCUUAAAUAGAGAAUUGUUCAACAUUGUCUUAUUGAGGUUCUAGAUUCACUUCUUAAUCAAUGAUAGGUAUGAGAACCUAAACAUAGUCAAAAGUGAUAGUAGGAAUUGAGUUAGAAUUUAACUCCUCCUUAAAAGCAAUGUCUUUAACCUUAUUUCUCCCUCCAAACUCAACAUCCUAAAAGAAUGUUGCAAUUCUCAUCUCAAAAAUAUUUCUAAUUGUGGGAUCAUAAAACUCAUAGCCCUUAGAUCGCUUGGUAUACAUCAAAGAAGUUAGAAAUGAUGUCAUUUCAACCUUAUCGUUUUUAGCAAAACUUUCUCAAGUUCGUCAAGGAAACCUUGGCCUGAGCAAUCUUUUCAAAUUUUAUGCCCCUAAAGGCUUCUAAAAUGUUGUGCUUUAUGAUCAUUAGAAUCAUACAAUUUGAACAAUCCCACCUCUCAAAAUCUCUUUUAACAUAAGGGGUGUUUUUCGUAAUGAGAGGUGCAGGUUGUUCUUCCCUUAGUGCAAUGUCUAUAUUCAUACAACCAAACACUAUAAGUAAGUGUCUUUUCCAUUUAUUGAAAUUAGUCCCAUUAAGCAUGGGUAUAGAAUUUAUAUUAGCAGAUAUUGUGGCAGUAGAAUAUGAAUUAGCUUAAUAUAGAACAAAAAAAAAAAAAAGCUCACAUCAAUAUUCAUAAGUAAACAAUAAAUUCAAGAUAAUGGCUAAUCUCAUCUCAAGAUACCAAACACAACAUUAAUAUCAAGUCUUUGGAUAAUAAUAUUAACAGUAAGCGGUACUCUUGUUGUAGCAAUCAAACAUUGACAAUAAAUUAUGUCAAACAAUUAAUUAAUCUUUAGACUAACUUAUUGCUCACAUAAAGUAUCUUAUAAUUGUCACACAUUUAUCACCACAGAUGUCGUUGAACUUCUGCCAAAUAUUAACUUACCUUUGGGUCAAUUAAUAAAUGCAUGAAUCACAAAAACAUAUAAUCAUCUUAAUAAAUACAUGAAUCACAAAAACAUAUAAUCAUCUUGAUAUUUCAAAUAAACUAAUCUAUACAAAAGAGGUCACUUUGGCGGCAUUUUAUUUCAACUAAUCUAUUUAAAAUAUUAGACAUCCUUAAUUAAAACCCAAAACCAAAAUUUGAAUUUCAUUUGUUUCGAAAUAUUUCUUUUAGUUUCAUCUUUCAAUCAAAUUAAAAGAUACUAGUAUAUAUAUGUAUAUAUAGUUAUCCCAAAACAACAUACAGUAAUGUUGGCAAAUAUAAUAAUAGUUAAAUAAAUCAUAAACCAUAAACAACUUCAUAUAAGACUUCAAAUUUAAACCAAAAUAAUUUGAAUAAAGGUAAACCUCAUCUCAAGAUAUCGGACACUCCAUUAAUAUUUUAUAUUUAGACAAAAUAUUAACUUGUAAAUGAUAUAUUGGUGUAAUAAUCAAAUAUUGACAAUAAGAACAUGUCUAACUAUAAAUUUUCUUUUGGACCAAUUUAUUACUUACAUGUAAAACCGAAUAAUUGUCUCAUGUUUAUUACCAUAGUUGCACAUGUUAUAUUAUUAACCUUUAUUUGGGUCGAUCAAUAUUAACAUAACUUAGGUUACAUGCACACAACCUUUUAUAUUUUAAAACAAAAUAAUUUAUACAAAAAAAAUCACUUUGGUGACUUAUUGCUUCAAUUAAGUUAUUUUAAUAUAUAUAUAUAUAUAAACAUACCAAUAUUCAAAUUUAAAAUUUUCUCAAUAGUCAAAUGUCAAAACUAUUUUUUAUUGCUUUAUAGACUCCGAAAUAACUCAAAAUAAGAUUGUGACUAUUUCUUUUUCUUUUUCUUUUUUCAAAACCAUAUAUAUCAAAACCAAACAUAAAUAAAGUAGUGGUUCAAAGCCAAAUAAUUAACAAACACAUGUAUUUAUAAUUUUGGCAUGGAUAAAAACACCAAAGCAAUUUACGCAUAUACAUGUAUUGAUAAUUAAAUAGAAAAACUUACCCUAAAUUUAUCAUGUAAAUUCAAAGUUGUAUUUAUGAUUAAAUAGAUAUUCACAUGAAUACUUGAAAAAUAUUUUCAAGCCAAUAAAUCUCAAAAAAACAAAAUCAUAAUAGUUGGCAUAUCCCACAAUUCCUACAAUAAACCAUAUCAUUAUAAUUUAACCAAAUAUUUGGAACCAUAAGAUGCCAAAACCUAAUAUUAUAGAACCAAACUUAAAACCAAAAUAUUUAAAUAUGAAUAUAGCUUACAUUAAUUUGUACCAAAACACCCAUAAAAUUGAAUACAUAACCAUAAAAAAAUUUAACAACUCCAACGAUAUUCAUCAAAACUUAAUUUCACUAAUUAAACUGUAAAAGAUAUCUUAUUGAAUAAUGAUUAUAAACACCUAUUCACACAAACUAUAAUCAUGCAUUAAUCCUCAAAAUCAUUGAUAUGCAUAUAAUAUAUAUACACACACAUAAUAUAUACACAGAAUUAUAAUAAUAUAAAAAUAAUAUUGGCUUGCCUUACAUAUUUCAUGUAAACUCAAAUUUAUAUUCAUGACUAAAGAUGUUAUCAUAAAACUUCUUUAUACUCACACAUACUUAAAAAAAAUCCAUAACCACUAAAUAUAAAAAGAAUUCCAAAUUAUAUAAAAGUCUUUAUAUGGGCAACUACUUAUGAAAAUUCAUAGCCACCAUAUUUUAAAAAAAAUCCCAAAUAUUUUAAUUAUAGUCAGGUUUCAUAAAGACUAAAACUUAUAUAAAAUAAUUAUAACAGAACCAAAAGUAAUCAUUCGUAUAUACGAAUUAAAUUCAAUGGCGAAUAUAAUUCAUCAUGAAUAAAGACAAAAUAUGAUAAUUCCAUAUAUAUUCAACCACAAACAGAAAAUUUAAAAUAAAUAGUGCCAAAAAAAAACAUCUUACCAAUAUUCAUUUAUUCGAUUAUCAAGUGAAUUAACUCUCAAAACCAAUUAUACAACCUAAUCAGAAUUCUUCAAAUGCAAAAAGUUGUAAGUUGUAACUUUAAUUUAAUAAUGAAUUUAACCAAAAUUUAUAAAAUAAUUGUGUGAAAAGAAAAGAAAGAAAUCUCACAAAUCAAUUUUUAUCAAUUGAUUAUAAAUAAAUAAAUAAACAUUCAUCUUUCGAAUAGCAUAUGCAAAUAUUAAACUAGAUUAUAUUUAUAAAAUCUUAAAACUUUAUUUAAAGAAUCAAAACCCAAAAAUUUAUCAAGAGUCUCAAAGAUUCAACAUAAUAUAUAAUUAAAAUAUCAAAUCCAUAAAAUUAAAAAAGAAAAACGAAUCAAUCAAAAUUAAUAAACAAUCAAUUCAUUCUCAAUAAUUCAACAUGACAAAGCUCGGAUGCCACUUGUUAGAAUUUGUGAAAUAAAUUUGAAAUAAAACUUAAUAAAUCAGGAUCUAUCAUGUCAAACCAUCAAGAAUAAAUCAAGAACAAAACUAGAUGCGAAAGCGUGCCUAAAUCCAUGAAUUCCUUGAAGCUUUACCGAAUCUUGGGGAUUUGAUCUUUCAAAUUAGUACACAAGAAAUUCAGAGAAUAUCUGCUCUCUCUUUCCUAAUAAUGGGAUAUUAGAAAAGAUAUAUUGUGUAUAAUUUGGGGACCAUAACCCUAAUAUUUAUAACAUUGGUAUAUUAGUUCUAAUCAAAUUCUAAUUAACCCAUCAUUAAUUAGAAUUUGAUUAGAACUCAAUUACUAGAGUAUCUACACAUAUUUAACCCAUACUUUAUUUAAUAAUUAAAGCCCAAUAAAAUUUUAAUCAAACUAUAUCACUUUUAAUUUGGGCUAACCUAUCAUGAUAGUAAAUAAUAACAUAUAAUUACUCUUAUUAUAUAUGUGAUGUCCAUAUUUUCCAACAUCAACAUCAUAUAUAAAAAACUAUUAUUGUUAGUUGAAACAAAUGUGAGGAUUCCAACCUUAGUUGAUAAUCACAAAUAGUUGUGGCCAAUUUGGAUAUCAAGUAUCAUACUCAAAGGUAUUGAACGAAAAAAAAAAGCCAAUGAUAAAGUUGUUUGGUCAUUAAGAUGAGUCUUAUAAAAAUUUGUCGAAAACCCAACAGUGGUCAUUAGACACCAUAGUGAAUAUGGAAAAUUUCCUUGCAUAUGCUGACAAACAACUAGUCCAUGGUAAGUUAAUAUCAAUCGUGUGUUUUGGACAUUCAAAUCUUACAUUGAAGGGUUUCCACGUUGUAAACACAUUGCCUAAAUCAAUGGUACAUUGGAUAUAUGAGAAAUACAAACAAAUCUUGCUAUUGGUAGUUUCACAUGACAUUGAUUAAAAUGUCACUCCACUUGCCUUUACCAUUGUUAAGGGAGAUACCAUAUAGGUUCAGAGUUUAUUAUCGAGAAAUUUGCGUUAGUACAUUAUGAAAAAAGAUAAUAUAUACCUUAUAUUAGAUAGAGCUACAUUCAUAUUUGUUGUCGUUGAAUGCGAAGAGAAUGGAUGGAUUUCUUCGUAUACAUAUUUAUACUCUAUAUAAUAUAUACUUAUAAAACGUGUUUGACUAAGCUUAUAUCACUAGUCAAUCAGACACUAACUUAAUUGAAAAAUGACUAAAAGAUUUAUAAAGUAACAAUAUGACUACAAGUGUGUUUUUGUCUCUUUGCAUAAUUUAAACUCUAAACCUAUUCAAGGGUUAGACUACCCCUAAGCUAAAAGACUUGUUCAAAAUUUGAAAGGAUUUGGGAAAAAAUAUUAAACUAAAAAAUUGAGCUUCACAAAAAAAUUAGGCCAAUUUUCUAACUUUCUAAUGUAUUAUUUUAUUUUAUUUUAUUUUAUUUUUAUAUACUAGUUCCUAGUAUCAUGUGCAUUCUAUGUGAAUACAUGCAUUUGUAUUUUUAUUUUUUUAAUGUGAUAGGUUAUUUCAUAUAAUUGAAGAUAGAUUGCUUUAAUACCUAGAAUAACUCUAAAUAUCUUAAAGAUUUAAUUCCAAUAAAUAAAAAGUAUUUUAAGAACUGAGAUUAGAGUGUGAUUUAAUUUGUAUUUUACAAUAAUAAUAUAUAAUUUAAUUAUGAUUUUAAUGUAUUAAAAUUAUCGAAUUAAUUAAUAAUUUCAAAUUUUAAUGUUAUAAUUUUUUUAGUUUUAAUAUUAAAAACUAUUUUUCAACAUUUUAUAGUUUAAAUGUUUUUCUAUUUUAAAACCAAAUAACAAUAUUAUUAAUUAAAAAGUAGAUUCAAAUUGUAUAAAAUAUAAUAAAAUUAAAAUUUAUGAAUCUUGUUAGAAAUUAACUUAUCUAAUUGAGAUGUAAUUAUAUAAUAUAUUUUAUAAUAAUUUAUUUUCUUAAAUGAAACACAAAUCGAGAUAAAUCAUCUAAUGGUAUUAUAAAAAAAUAUAUAAAAGAAACUAAAAAAUAAAAGAACUUCAACUUCUUAAAAAUAAUUAAACUAAAAGUAUAUUUACAUAAAUUAAAAAAUUCAAUUUCCUAAAAAAAUAAAAUAUCAUUUUAGUACUCCAGUACUUUUAAGAUACUUCUAACUUAUCGAUACUAAUAAUUUUGGGGGCUAUGGAAAUAACUAAUAAUACUUAAAUUUAAUUAAAUCACAAUGCGCAUCAAGUUUAGGCUUGUUCAUGGGUUGUGUUACUCGCCUAAUUCAAAGAUCUGAUAAAAAAUUAGGAAGGUUUUGAUAAAAAAUUAGACUUAAAAAAUGAAUUUGGACAAAAAAAUUAAGCCCAUUUAGAAUAUAGGCUGAGCUUAAGCUUAAACAUUCAAGACUCGAGAUUUUUUAAUUUUGUAAUAUUUUAUAUUUUGUUAUUUUUAUAUAUUAUGUAAUUUGUAACGUAUAAAAAUUAAAUCUAUAGUAAUAUAAUGUAGACAUUAAAAAAUUAAGAUAAUUAUAUAUAGAAUUAUUAAAUAUUAAAUUAAAAAUAAUAUAAAUAUAAAAAAAUUUAAAAAUAAUAUGAGUGGGUCUAAAAUGGACUUUUGUUAGCCAGUUACAAGUGUAACCAAAUAUUAUUAUUAUCAUUAUUAUAAUCUUACAUUGUACAUGGAUAUAAAAAUAGAGUUGGAGAACAAAAUCUAUCAUCCACCCUAAAAUUGAUUUUCAUCUUGCCAUGAAAUGUUUUAUCUUCAACCAAUAUUUUUGAAAUCAGGCCAGGCGGGCCAGUCAAACCGGUUGAAGCAGGUAAAAAUCCCGUUUGAAUCGCGAACCAACCAGAAUCGCGGUUGAAGUGCUAACCAACGAUCGAAAAAACUGGUAAAAAAACGGUUGAAAGGAUUUUUGAAAUAUUUAAGCUAAAUUUGCCUAGGCCAAAUCGAAACAAAAAUAAAAUAAAAGCCCACUGUUAAAAUAAUAAAAGCCUAGUGUUAAAAACUUAAAACUAGCACAAAACAUAUGUAUCCAAACAAAAAAAAUAUUGCUUUAGGUUAUCGUCAUGACUUCAUCAACCAGAGAUUUCAGAUUUGAGAGAUGUUCAGUUUAUCAGAGAAGAAAAACAUUUACCAAGAAGUAGCUUCUGACAAAAAAUUCUCACGCUUAAGAAAGAUUUUAAAUAAAUAAUAAUAAUAAAAGCAAAGAAAAUGGUGAAAAAGAUGGACUCAUAAAAAAAAAAAAAAAAGAAAGCAACUUCAAUCUUUUAGGAAGGAAAAAAAAUAAAAUUAUCAGAAGGAAACUCAAAUUGACGAAAUUAUAUGUUUUUUUAAAAUAAAAUUUAAAGAAAACUCAAAUGGAUUAUGAAAUUAGAGUUUCUUAUAAUCAUCCCAAAUUGUCCCUUAGGCAGUAAAUAAAUUUCUUUUCCAUGGUAGUCCCCAAAAAUAAUUCCCAACACACUAAAAUUCAAAACUAAAAAAUAAAUUCUUUGUUUAUUGAUAUUUAUUUUAAUACGAAAAGAAAGAAGUUGAGAUCUAUUCAAUUUUUUAGUUUCUUUUGCUCAAAUCAAUUGUUCUUUUCUCUCUUCUUUUUCUACAGUCUUGUAAUUUGUAAAUAUGUUCAACCAGCAGUUAAAAUUGAUUCUGUCCAAAAUUAGUCUAUUACUCUAAUUAUAAAACCCUUGUUUUCAACUUUUAAAUAAUAUUCAUAUUUUUUGGACGCUACUAUUUGAAAAUGUUACAAUAUUGAAUGUUAUUUAUAAUGGUUUUUUUUAUUUAAUAGAAUUAUAAUAGUAAUUAAAUGAUUAUUAAUUUAAAAUAAUAUCUAUUAAUUAUUAUAAUUCAAACAAAUAAAUAUAAAAAUAUUAGUAAAUGUAAUUUAUGUCAAAUGAUAGCUUGUGAAGUAGUGAGCAUUCCUGUGAAAACAUAAUAAAAAUUGGUUAACCAAGUCAAAUGAUAGCUAUUUCGUCUUAAUUGUUGGAAUACUGCUUCUUUUGAAUAUAUUUUUAUAUGUUUAAAUCGAUUGUCAUGUUGGAAUAUUACUUUUGAAUUAAUUUUUUAUAUGUUUAAAUUGACUAUUACAUAACACUUCUAAUUGUAGCUUGCCCCUUCCCCAAGAUUAAUAUAUUGGCUCCGCCACUUGUAAUUUAUAACACAAAAAAUUAAACCUAUAGUAGUAUGUGUUACCAAGAUGUAAACAUUAAAAAAUGUUAAGUUACUUAUAUAUAAAAUUUUAAUAAAUAAAAAAUAUAUAAAAUUAUUAAAAUUUAAAUUAAAGUUAAUAUAAAUAUUUUAAAAACAAUAUAAGUAGGCCUCAAAUUAGCAUACGCCAAUCAUUUAUAAAUGUAAAUUGAUUUGAAUAAAAUUUUAAGUUAUUAUUUCAAGUUGUACUGAAUAAAUAUAAAAUGUAUUAAUAUUUAAAGACAAAAAAAUAAAAUUGAUUAAGGGAGAGAAAAAUGAAAAAAUAUUUUGAAAGAUAGAAAAUACAAUUUUAUCAUGAUUUUCUAAAAACUAAAAUUAUUUGGUAACAAUGGCAGCCUUCCAUCACCAGAAUUAUUACAUCAAUUUUUUAUCUGAUUGUUUAAAAAGAAUGAACCUAGCCGUCAUUCAAUCUGCAUGAGUUUACAAACCAAGUGAACCAUUCUUCGUACGCCACCUAUCUUCCAUUUUGUCCACGUGCAAUCUUACCGGAACAAGCCGGUAUGCCCUACUUGCUAUCCCCGGUCAACAAAACGUUCCAUUCUUCAAAAUCUCAUCUACCUUCAUUCAACCACAUCUUCGUCAACCACCUGUCUUCCGGUAACCCACCUCCCCUCCUUGCCUUUUCUAAGGUUUCAGUUUCAGGGACUCAUUUGUAAACACACACGCAAAAUUUAUUUAUACAUAUUCUAUGGGAAGCUCUGUUUGUGCGAAGCAUCGUUAUUUCCGUUAUUAGGAAUUUCAACUCCUCGGGAAAAGUUCCCCCAAACACUUCAAAAAUUUCCCUUUUAGGGUUUCAAUGGAUUUAUUUCAUACUAAAUCGGGUUUGUCCCUGGGUUUUACUAAAUCCUCCAUUGCGGAUGAUCCGAUUUCGCUUCAAAUGGACACCACCUUUCGCUUCUCCGUCUCACCCGUUCCGUUACAGUUGUUCGAGGAAAAAGACGACGGCCACCGUGAAAAUCGCAUCGAAAGUGAUGAAGAAAUUAGGAUUUGGGGGCAGUCUAUGUGUGUGAAAAGACAAAGGGAUCCUAAACCUCUUCCAAAUCCUUGUAAACGGUUUGCUCCCGACCCCGGUCUGGACCAAAGACGAGCCGCGGUCAGGUCGUGGGGAAACCAACGGCUACAAGAGGCCGAUCCUGAAUUGAGUGAGAUCAUGAACAAGGAAAAGCAGAGGCAAUUCUUAGGAAUUGAGCUUAUUGCUUCUGAAAACUUUGUGUGCCGAGCUGUGAUGGAAGCUUUGGGAAGCCAUUUAACAAACAAAUACUCCGAAGGAAUGCCUGGAGCGAGGUACUACACGGGCAAUCAUUUUAUUGAUCAAAUCGAAAGCCUAUGUCAAGAUCGUGCAAUGGCAGCUUUUAAUCUUGAUUCCGACAAAUGGGGAGUCAAUGUGCAGCCUUAUUCGUGUACUUCUGCAAAUUUCGCCGUUUAUACGGGACUUUUAUUACCUGGUGAUCGGAUGAUGGGAUUGGAUUCGCCCUCUGGAGGGCAUAUGAGCCAUGGAUGGUAUAUGCCGGGUGGGAAGAAAGUCUCUGCUGCGUCGAUAUUCUUUGAGAGUUUUCCUUACAAGGUGAAUCCUCAAACAGGGUUUAUUGAUUAUAAUAAGCUUGAGGAAAAGGCGCUUGAUUAUCGGCCCAAGAUUCUAAUUUGUGGUGGGAGUUCGUAUCCUAGGGAGUGGGAUUAUGCAAGGUUUAGGCAAAUUGCAGAUAGAUGUGGAGCUGUUUUGAUGUGUGAUAUGGCUCAUAUUAGUGGUCUUGUGGCAGCCAAGGUUUGAAAAUUUUCUUGUUUAAAUUACUUAUUAGUUUUAUGUUUUGAUUGUAGUUCAAAGGUUCUUUUCCACGAGUUAAGGUUUCUUGCAAUUUGUUUGGUGGAUAGGCUUGAGGUAAAUUACUUAACUAGUCUAGAAAAAGUAUUAAUCACUUAGAUACUACUGGGGUUAACUUACAAGCAGCAUUGCUGUUGGUAAACAUCAAGUAAUGUAUUACUGUUUGCCUGUCAAAUAUGCUUGUGAUUCACACAGCCCAACCUUCGAUCCCAUGCAGACAGAACCACACAUGCUCAGAUUUACAUUUAACAAAGACCUGAAAGAAAAGGCACAUUACUUGCAUUCUGGGGAGAAAGCUUGAGCUUAUUUGGCAGAAACCAAAUCCUGUCAGCCUGUGAAUUUGUAUAUCCAAACAACGUAACUUAUUGAUGUUGAACCAAGGGUAAACCUAUCUAUUAGAUUUUUUGAGAUGGACUGAUUUAUCAUAUACUAUUAUGAACUGUGAACUAUCUGACUUUAUGGAUCUUCUAAAAUUUUCUUUGUUUUCUUUUCCGUUCCUAAAAACUUUUGAGUUUAUUAGAAUUGGUAAUAUGUCAAUGUAAACACAUAUGCAUUGGGUUUAUAUACGAAUAAAUGUAAAUAGAUCUCAUCCUUUGUACUUUUGUACUUGUUAGUCAUGGCAAUGUGAUGUUUCAUUCCUUUUGUUCUUUUCUCCUUUUGGUCGGAUGAGUCUAAUUAUUUCAGAAAAAAGGAGAUUUUUGGAAGACAUGUAAGGAUAGGAUUUAUAUUUUGACUGUUGUAGUGAUGGUAAAGCAUAUGAAUUUCAUAGUUUCCGGUUUCCCUUAUGCUAACUACAUUUAGGAGAGCUCUAUUUGUUUGAAUACUUUACUGUUGCUAGCUCAACCGUGAUAUAUAUGAAAUUCAAAGUUAUACAAUUUACAAACUGUUGAUUUUUUUACAGGGUGUUUUUCUUCUCAAAGUUCAUAAAUCUAGUUUGUUAGGGUUAUUUAUGUACAAAUUAACAGGAACAACUGUGUGACUUUCAGGCUUGAACUGUUAGAAUUGUGUGCUAAGUUAUUGUUUGAGUUGUCUCCCCACACCCCAAAAAGAAAAUAAAAUCCAUUUGAUAUGCCUCGGCCCUUGUAAGAAUAUAAUAGCUUCAACUUAUAAUGGCUCUUCAUGUUGGUGAAUCUUUCAGUAUUUGUUUUUUAAUGCAAGGCAAUUUUGUGUUCUUACUCCAUACUGGCAUGUUUACCCUUGUACAUUACAGGAAUGUGCUAGUCCAUUUGACUACUGUGAUAUUGUCACUUCAACAACACACAAAAGUCUACGGGGCCCAAGGGGAGGUAUAAUCUUUUAUAGGAGGGGCGCGAAAUCAAGAAAGCAAGGCAUGUGUCUCAGUAAUGGUGAUUGUACUGACCAGCUUGAUUUUGAGGAAAAGAUAAAUUUUGCUGUCCAUGCAUCAUUACAAGGAGGACCUCAUAACAAUCACAUUGCUGCUCUUGCCAUAGCAUUAAAGCAAGUGACUACACCAGAGUACAAAGCCUAUAUGCAACAGGUGAAGAAAAAUGCUCAGGCUUUGGCAUCUGCUCUACUGAAAAGAAAAUGCAAGUUGGUUACCGGAGGCACUGACAACCAUUUGUUGCUGUGGGAUCUCACUACACUAGGCUUAACAGGUGCCUGCUCAAAAUCACAAAUUUGGUUUAUUUACGUGCUGUGCUAACACCUGAAAUUUUCUUUUGGCUUGAAUUAAGUUUCUUUUUUGUAAUUUCAUUCGAUUAUGUUAAAAAAUUGCAUAUUCACUUUGUUUCCAAUUUUUCAUCCAGAACUUCUUAACGGCUUUUUUAACCUUCUUUUUCCCCUUCUUUCCAGGCAGCCUCUGUAUGCAUUUCGAAGUUAUCUUCCCUUGUUGCAAAAUGUGGCAUUGAUUUAUCAAAAACCCCUUGUAAAGAUCGAUCUCUAGUUUGUUACCAUUUUAUUCUUGACUCCCCCCCCCCCAAAAAAAAAAAAAAACAAUUAUUCAUGGCUAUAUUUUAGAAGGGGAAAGCAUACAACAAAGUGUUUUUCUUUUCCCAUUUAAAGAGUAUAAGUUAAUUCUUGCGAAUCAAAUCUAGAAAGCCAAUAAUUAAAUAUAAUUAAAGAUUCUAUGUAGUGAAAAUAGAAGGUGAUACUUAAGUUUAAAGGCUGUCAAUUUUCCGGCGAAUUAAAGUGAAGUGAACCUGUUGCUUGUCAACUGUAUUUGCUAUAAGUUUUCUUCCCGUCUACAUCUCACCAUCCCAUCUGUUUGACUAGCUAAAAAGUAAUUUAUUACUAUGAGAAGCAACCUAUAUGUUCAAUUGUUCAUAUGCAUGGAGCAUUUCCUGCAUAUUAAGACAUGCUUUCUUAGACUAUUCCUUCCAUAGUUAACACUUUCCACAUUCUGUUUCCCAGGCAAAUGCUAUGAGAAAGUUUGUGAGAUGUGCCACAUCACUCUGAAUAAAACUACUAUAUUUGGUGAUAAUGGUGCUAUUUCUCCCGGAGGAGUGAGAAUUGGUGAGCAGUAUUCUUGUAUUUAAUGUUGAAGAAAUUUCUAUUUCGUUCUGAUAGCUCCAUAGAACAGUAGUUAUGUUCUAUUUCCUUCAGGCAAAGCACAUUUUUUUGGUUUGUUUUCAGUUUUUUUUUUCUUUUUUUUUUCUUUUUGGGACAUGAUAUCAUUCAAGUGAACCAAUUCAUAGCACCAUGUGCUGGACUUCCAUUAAUCAAUUCUUUCAAAUGCACUAAUAUGUUCUAUAUACCCUAAUAACAUAUUUAGAAUUGUCUAAUUCAUGUAGUAUUUGGAGUGUUACCAUACCAACUGAGGUUAUGUGAAUAUUCAAAGGUGUUGAAAGAGACAUAGUGUUUAUGGUUUGUUCUUCUUGUCAGCUAACUAGCAUUGGUUUUAUUGGGGACUAAGACAUUUUUUAGAACCAUAUGAUUCAUGACUUUGAGUUAAUGACUAGUUCUUAAAAUACCAAAAAAAGCAUAAGCAAAUUCACAAGAGGUUCCUAGUGUAUUAAAUAUGGAUGUUUUUUACUUUUAUUUAACCCACUAUAACAUGAAUUUAGUUCAUUUAUAGUGAUCCUCCGACUAUAUUCUUCUAUUUUAAUGUUAUCAAUGUGCUGGCUUACAGUCUGUCUUGCUCCAUUAAUGUCUUAAUUGCCUAAUUUUCUCUCAGGUACGCCUGCUAUGACAUCAAGAGGUUGUUUAGAGUCUGAUUUUGAGACAAUCGCUGACUUUCUCUGUACAGCAGCUGAAAUUACGAGUUGUGUGCAGAGGGAUCAUGGAAAAUUGCAGAAAGAGUUUCUCAAGGGUCUUCACAAUAAUAAAGAUGUUAUUGAUCUCCGGAUUCGUGUAGAGGCAUUUGCUGCCCAGUUUGCAAUGCCUGGAUUUGAUUCUUGAAGAUUUAUAAGAUGGCCUGCCUGCUACUUGGCAUACCCUCAAUUUUUAUCUGGUAAUCAAAAGUUAUUUUGCAUAUCCAUGUGUUUCCCAUUGAACUUGUGUGUAAAAUAAAGAAAGCAGGUCAUACAGUUCUGCAUAUGUUUUAAAAAAUUAUAUUGAUAAAAGUUAUAAAGAGCCAUCUCUUUAAAAUACUGUAAUAAUAUUUAUGAUGCAAGAAACAUACAUUUGGUGAAGGUCUAUUUAGUCAGUCUAGUUUCCAUAUUUGGUAUGUUAAGUGUAUAGCCAGAAACCCAACUGUACUAUGUAAUAUGGAUUCUCAAGUAAUGUUUAGCCUACUGAAUUGAUUUAUUAGAAUGUCCUUUUUAUAGGAAAAUGUGUAUGUAUAGAAAAAAAAGUGUAAUUGAUGUAUUAUUUAAAAUACAGAUUGUUUAUAAGACUAUGAACACAUACCAUGAUAUUAUCGGUGCAUUUACUUGCAAUAUAGUUGCUGCUGUUGUAGGGAUUUCAUUGUUAUUAUUGUUGGUGUUUGCUACUGUCAAAUUGUAGUGAAGAGGAAACAAAAGCUGAAAAGCUUUAGUUUUAAAGAAAAGUAGAAGUAAAGCAAAUGAAGAAAACAUAUGAUAUGGGUGGCUUGGCGUGAUGUUGAACUAAGUUAUAUUUUUGGUUUUUUGCUGUUUCACUACUAUGAUUUAUGUCUGUCAUGUAAUUUCCAACAUUAUUUUAUACCGUUUCCUUGUGUUUGAGGUUUCUAUUCAGGAACACACCCUUGAAGGGAGGCAAGGCAUGAGACAAAAAGCAUGAGAUACGAGAACGUGAUUUAUUUUUAUUACUUUAGUUUUAAGAAGAACACAAUAAUAAAACUAAAAUUGAGACUUCAUUAGCUGUCUCGAAAUCAUUAAUGGGUAAAUUAGAAGUAAAAUUUUCUGAUCUUCACAUGAUGGUAUAGUUUGACCCUAAACCCAGUAGCUUCCGAAAAAAUAGAAAGAAACAAGAAGGGGACAGACAGGUCAGGAAAAGAAGGGGGGAUUAUAUUUAUAUGUGCGUUUUAUUUUUCCUUUAACGAAACAGAAGCAUUUUCAUGAUUAAAAAGGAGUGGCCAUUGGACUUUUGCUUUUUGAAACCCCGAAUCGGACAUCAUAAAGCUUUCUAAAUAUCAAAUAAGGCCAGCUCUGGUGGGGAAUCUCAUUGUCCUCUUCAUUACCCCUAGUAUAUUUGUUAUUUAUUUUAGGCUCUUUUACCUAAUUAUUAUAAAAUAAACAAAUAAAUUAUUUACUUAAACAAUGUGUGUUUAGAAUUAGAAAAAAAAUAUUUGUUAGAAAUUUUAAACUCCACAAAUAAGAUAAGAGUGAUUAUAACUGUGUAAUAGAAUGUAGUAAAUUUUUUAAAAAUAAAUAUAUUAAAAAAAUAAAACACAUGUCAAUUUUUUUACUUUGCUUCUAGAGUUAAAAUAUUACAUUAACCAUAAAUCCUUAGAAUUAUUUAAUAAAAGGAUAAAUUAUAAAAAUAGUCAUUUUUAUGUCUUAGAUUACAUUUUAGUCAUUUAUGUUUAAAAUGUUACGAUUUAGUCACUUAUAUUAGAGUUUUAUUACAAAGUGGUCACUUUAUCAUUGAGCUCUGUUACCUCCCUAACGACAAUCCUAUGUGGCAGUCCAAAUAGAUUUUAAAUGCCAACUUGAAUAUCUAGUUGGGGUGAGAAUAAGUUUUUAAUUUUUUUAAUGAAAAUAGAAUACAAAAUUUUGCCCUAAAAUCUAAAAUUUUGCCUCUUGGUUAUAGUUCGCUCACCUUACCUUCCCCUUCGCUUUGUCUCCAGUAUUUGGGUAUUCUUCUUCUUCUUUUGCGAAUUCAAAGUCAUUUUUUCAAUUACAGGUUCGUAUAAAAAUGCAAUCCCUAUUUAUACAACUCCAUUUUUUGUUUAUUCGAGUAUUUGGGUAUUGUUGGACUUUUUGUUUGAAGAAAGAAAAAAUUGGAUCUCGAAAGAUUUGGGAAAAGAAAUUAAAUAGUGUUUCAGAUAUAAAACACUAAAGAUUUUAUCUUUUGGAAUUCUUUUUAAGGGUUUCUUCUAUUGUGAAGAAAAUAUCAAAAAAGGAAUAUAUACCAAGAUGGAUGGAUGCAAAAGAAGAAAAUAUCACGGUUUUUAAUUUAGGGUUAUCAUUAAACAGUGUGUUGUUUUAGAGUAUAAAAGAAAAAGGAGAUGAUAUAUUUUUCUUUUUUAGUUUAAGGUGUAAUUAAUUUAAAAUUUUUAAUUAUUUAAUUAAAAACCUAUUAUCAUCCUAAUUGGACAUUUAAGUUGACAUUUAUAACCUAUUUGGACUGUCAAGUGGGGCUACCAUUAGGAGGUAGCAGAGUUUAACAAUAUAGUAACCAUUUCGUAACAGAACUCUAACAUAAAUGACUAAAACGUAAUAUUUUAAAUAUAAAUGACUAAAAUUUAAUCUGAAACAAAUGAAAGUGACUAUUUUUAUAGUUUAACCUUAAUAAAAUAAUAUGAAAUGAAGUAUCAUUUUAAUAAAUUCAACACCAAAUUGCCACCAAUGGUGAAUCUUGAGCCUGAAAUUUCCCCAUUAAUAGCGAGUUAGGAUAUCUAGGUGAAAUGCUACAGAGAAGCUUUGUCACUUCAAGAUUUCAAAUAUAAAAAUGAAUAUUUAGAUAACUUUCAUCAAAUUUUAGUAAAAAAAAAAAAAACACUUUAUUUUGCCACUGAUAUAUUUGUUAUUAUAUUUUAUUAUUAUUAUUUUUAAGUUUACAAAAUAGAACCUUCUACUUUUUGGUAGCAUUGGAUCAAGAGGGAACCCACUUUCAAAAUUAAAUUAAAGUAAAAUACCUAGCCACUGUUUAAUAUUACACUCUAAUAUUCUCCCUUUUUUAUUAUUUCUUAAUUCAAGAUAGCAGAAACUUCUAUGUCCUUUUUUUUAAUUCAAGAUACCAAAAACAACAUUAGAGAAAGCCCUGCAUGAAAAAUUCCUCUUUUUGGGGGAUUCUUCAAGAUUUUUGAAGCCCAAAUCCAUCUGCUUUGCUCCCCAGCAUCCAUAUGAAGAGAAAAAAUAAACUACUAUCUCCAUGGUAGAAGCAAUAAAAUGCAUGAAAAUAAAAAUAAAAAUUAGAAGGAAGAGAAGGGUUAAAAGAAACAACAACUGAUUCCCUUUACAAUUUUUACCCAAAUCUCUUACCUGUGACUGCAGAAGUCCAAAAGCUUCUUCCUCCCUUCAAUAAUCUCAUCAAAGAAAUCAUCAAUUUGUCCAACAAUAUUUUCAACCCCAGAUCUCAAUAUCCCAAAACACCCUCUCAUGUUGUCUACUUUUUCCCUCAACCCCACUUCUGUUUCCCACUCCACCACCCCUCCUCCUCCUCCUCUCCUCUCCAGCUCACCUCUCACCUCUUCCAUUGCCAUCUUUGACCUCCUAAACUCAUACAACAAUAUCCCUGCUUUCCCAUUCAUCCCGUUUAUCUCUUCUGCUACUCUUUGUUGCAAUCUUGCUGUUGAUAUCAUGAAUGUUGAUCCAAAACACACACAACCUUCGUUUCCCCCUCUUACCAUACUUGAUUCUGGCCAACAAUGAACCCCCCCAUAUAGUAACAUCAUUAGUAGCAAUGAACUUACAUUCCUCAUUGCAUAUAAAACUCCUCGGAAGCCAUUGAAUCCAUUCAACUUUGAUUCCAUUGUAACUUUCUCUUCCAACUUUAAUGAAAGUGGUUGGAUUCUUGUUUCCAUGAACCCCCUGUUUUCUUCUUCUAAUCCCAUAGCUUCUCUCCGGCAUCUUGAAAUUGCUCUGAUUACCUGUUUUGAAUUUAAAAAGGAAUCAGAUCAUGAAUUGAAUGAUUGAAAUUAUGAAGAAAGUUUGGGAAUUGAAGGACCUGUCUUGAAAGCUGGGGACUAAGAUGUCGAUGAUUAUCAAGAGAAGAAAUGAUGUUAAACCCAGAAGAAUAAUAAGUUUCCAUGCCGGAUAUGCCUGAUUUAAGAACAUGACAAGCAUCCCAAAGCUUGGAACUUUCAUCCAUGUAUUCAUCAAGCCACUUAUCACCAACAGGGAGAUGUAGUUUUUGAACAAGGAUGAGCAACUGGGAAUGGAAAGAUCUGAGAAGGCAAAGAACCCUUUGAAGAAAUUGGAUUGACAUGAAAUUAUUAGAGAGAUACACCCUUUCAAGAUCAUCUAACCCACGAGUAAGGAAAGUGUAGAAUCCAUUCGCAGAGCUCAUGGAAGAUGGAUCCAUUGAAACGGGGGGGGGGGUGUGGAGAAAAAAAGGUUAUGAAAAGAAGGGAUUUAUAUAAAUGGAGAUGAAUUCAUGAAAUAUGAAAAUGAUGAAGAUGAAAAAGAAAUUAAAAGGAAUAUAUCUUAGAAGCUCAAAUUUCUAAGGUUGAAAAGGAUUGUUGGGAGCAAUGAUGGUGUUUCCUAUAGAGGGGAAAGGAUGAUUGGUAUUGUGCUAUUUUCAUUGUUUAAUCAACAAAAUAUAUUAAUAGAUAAGAAUUACUGAAAAUGAAAUUUGAGAAAUCAAUAUUACCAAAACUGAAAAGAAAAACCAAGUAAUGCAAAAGAUUUGGUAUAUGAUUGUUUAUUUCAUCCCUUGAAGAUUAAAAUGAAGUUUAUUUCAUGAUCAGCUGUUUAUUUCUUUUAAAAGAAUUAUAAUAAAGUGAUUAAUUACUACUAAUAAUGAAUUUUGAUAACAGUAAAAAUAUUUUGAGAAUUAUUACAUAUAAUUAACUUUAUAUAUAAUAGUUGAGAAUUUUUGAAGUUGGGAUAUAUACUUAUAAGAUGAUAUAGUGUGUGAGUGAGUUUUAUUGGGGUUUUGAGUUUUGACUGAUCAUAGACUCAGAUUCUCUGUCUUUAAUCUCUUCCUAUUUUAGAGGGUCAGAUGCUUGAAACUCAGUGCUCACUUGGUCUGCUUCCCAUCCCAUCUUUAUUAGUAUAUAAUGCAAUUGGAGGAAUAGUAUGAAUAACCUCACAUUCUUUUAUUGUUAUAUAAUUAAUAUUUUAAUAAUUCUUAUUAAAAUAUUAAUAUUUAUUAUGCUUGUAAAAUUUUUAAUUAAUCUAAUAUAUUUAUCAUCUCAAUUUAAUAUGUUAUUUAUAUAUAUAUAUAUAUAAUAGUUGAAAGUUUUUCAAAUAAUGCAUUGAUGUUGUAUAACUUUGUGUUGUUAGGGAAACAAAUAUGAUGACACAUUUUUUGAGGUUAAAUUCUUUUUAUCACAUAAUAAAAAAUUUGUUUUAAUAUUUAUAUAUGGGGUGGAUUCAUUUACACAAUCUAAAAUUAAAGUAGUUUAACAAACUUUCGUAACUUUUUGUACUAAUGAAAUAUUAAUAAUUCAAUAGUUGAAUUUAUUAUGCAUGUAAAAUUUUAAAUUAAUUUGAUAUUUCUAUUAUGUCAAACUAAAAUAUCAUCUAUAUUAAUUAUAUUGAACGAUUGAAAGUUUUUUUUUUACAUAAAAUAAAUAGUUAGAGUUUUUUAAUUUACACUAAAUUUGACGUGUAUAAUCAAAUGGUUGGAACAUGAAAUAUGAUGAAUUGUUAAAAUAUAAAUCAUAUAAAAAGUUACAGGAUUGUGCAAACUACUUUAGUUUUAAAUUGGUGUCCGUGGAUCCUUCCCCUCUAUAUAUUUAUAUAAUCAAAAUUUAAAUAAAAAUAUUUUUAUUUUGGUAAAAGUACCAUGAAGACCCUUAUACUAGGAGUGAGAUUGUUGUUGCCCCUUCUAUUAAAAAAAUAGGUAAAUUAGUCACUGUACAUUAAAUUAAAAAAGUAAAUUGAUCAUUGCUAUUAAAAAUUUCAUGCAUUUGUACUAUUAAAAACUAGUGUAGUUAACAUAAUAACUAGAAAGUGACACGUAUAUCUUAUGCUGAUGUACAAUGACUAGUUUUUAACCGUAAAACUGGAUUAAAUUUUUAACAAAAGAAUCAAUUUACUUUUUAAUCAAACACAUAUAGACUAAUUUGUUCAUUUUUUUAAAUAGAGAACAAAAUACAAUCCAACUCCUAGUAUAGAAAUCUCUAUAAUAUUUUUAUAUUUUAUUUUUAAAUAAUAAUUAAGUCGGAUAAAAUAAUAAUUUAGGUGUAGUUACUAUAUGGGUAACAUCUAUUGAAAUUUGUGGGCUUAGAUUUUGUUUAUCUUUCGAUAUUUUCAAAAGAAAUAAUUGCGGGAAUUCAAAAAUGGUGAGAUCUCUACUUUCUACUAUGCAAAAUCAAUGUUUUUAAGGAUAUUAUUAUUUUGAAUAAUCUCGUUUUUUUAAUAUAAUAUUUAAAAUUAUUUAUAAUUUUUUUAGGAGAAAAAUACGUGUUUUAACGCACUUGAAUCCAUAUUUUCUUGUAUUAACAAUAAUAUUUAUGUCAAUUGAACUAAAACUCAUUCGGUUAGACCAUUAUUAUUUUUAAAUUAAAUAAUUUUAGAAAUAAAAUGAAAACUUAAUAGAAUUAUAAUAUACUCAAAAAAUGGUAUAAUAAAUAAAGUACGUGUUUAUAAAUUAUAAAAAAAAAAUUAUGAGAUAACGAUGAUGUUUAUAAUUAAAAAGAAAAGUCAUAUACAGUGAACUAAAUUAAGUUGUUAAAAUUAUGAUGUCAUUAAUAGAAUUAGGUUAUACUUAAAAAUAAAACAUCAGUAAGUAAGUUGUCAGAUAUAAUUAUUACUUCUUUUCUUUAAAAAAAAAUCAUCUACUUUAUUGUUUAUAUUAUAAAACUUAUGAGCUAAUCAACACCGUUGCUUUCACCAGCUUUAGGACCCAUCAAACGGCGAACCCCAAAUAAAAGAAUUUGUUUCCUUUUGAUUAUUGUUUUAAGAUAUACAAUGUUUUGGGACACCAAUUUUAUUUGAAUCAUUCAUUCUUCCCACUUUUGCUAAUUAAAAAUUAUUUAUUCCUUCUUAAAUAAAAAUAUGUUUAGGCACCUGCAAAUUAUAUAUUUAGAAUAUAUAUAAAUAAUUUAUAGAAAAUACUGAAAUAUAUAAUUUUAGAUUAAUUAAUAAUAACCUAUAAAGUAUAUACAAUAUUAAAAUGAAAAAGAAGAAGAAGAUUAAAUUGUGAGUAAUACGAAAUUUAAAUGUAUAAAUACAUUAGAUUAAGAAUACUAAAUACACUAGAAUUGUUUAUUCGGGUGUCGAGUUAACUUGUGACACUAGAUCAAUUAACAACUUUAGCAAUAUAUAGAAUUGAUGGAGGUAAUAAAGUAUGCAUAAUAGAAUUAAAAUGUAUUAAAUAAGAUAAAACUUUAGUUAAGCGACAAAAUUAAGAUUUUAAGAGCUUAAAGAUUACAUGUUUAAAUUUCAUCACAUGUAAAUUUUUUAUUGACUAUUUUAAAAAAUUAAAAAGAUUAAAGUACCAUCGAAUAAUUUAGCUUCUUUGAAUGCGGAAAGAAAUUUUCGUAAUUUUUCUAGUUGAGUUGGGUAGUGACACUAACUUAAUUAAGAGCUUAAAUAAUAGUAUAAAUGUAUAUAGAAACUAACUGAAAAUUUUAAGAUUAACCAUGACAACUUUUCUUAUUAAAUUUAUAGUGCACUCACGAUGUGAGUGAACAAAAUUAUGUAACAAAUAUUUUUGUUCAAACUUUACAUAAAAACCAAUUGAUGUUUUGCUUAUCAUGGUAAAGCUAAUUGUUUAUUAUGCACGGUAUUGUAGGUUCAAAUCUCAUUUUGCUAUAUAAGAAGAUAAAAUACCCUCAUAAAAUAUAAUUUAAUUUAUAUAUAAGAAAGUAUUUUAGAAAUUUUAUAACUAAUUUAGUGCUUGAUUAACCCACACUCAAAGUUAUUUGUGGUUCGAGAAUAACGGAGAAGAUCGUUCAAUAGAAAAUCGGGAUCGACUUAACCACCUUGUACAAAGCACAUGUAUAUUUCGAUUAAAGUUUUGUACUAUAAAUAUCACAAUGGCUCGAUUUUAAAGAAAAAAUUUUAAACUUUUAUUAUGCCUAAAACACUGUUUUCUAAAUUGAUUUUUUCAACACAAAUUUCAAAGUAUAACAUCCAAAACUUCGAAGAUGUCCCUAACAUUUAGCAACUUCCCCUUAGGACCAUUCAAUUGCCUCAACGGAGGUCAUUUUAUGACCUCCCCCUUAAUUAUGGGCAAUUGUUAUACCACCUCCACAUAUCACCCUUGAGCAUCGCCUCAUCAAGUGCACCUUUGCCAUCAAUCACCUUCACUGAAAGCAAGACUAGUUGGCACCCAACACCUAGAGCCCUUCAAUCAUGAUGAGACGACCAUCACUUGUUAAGCCACCCUACAUUGCCUCAUUACCGAUCUACAGGAUCAUAGAGCUGCCUCUAAUAGGGACAAAGAGGUGACCCAUUCACUAAUAAGAUGCCUAUAUGUUGCAUCCCAAACCUCUCAUAUAAAAGCCCUCUCACCUCUGUAGAAAGGGUACAUUAGAUAGACAAUCCUCUUCUCUAUCUACUCCUCUAGCAAUCUCUCUCCUUCUCUCCUCCUUUCUCCCCCUUUAUCACCUCUCCGUCCAUGAUGACUUUCUGCCCUUAUAGGGUGAAUUGCCUUGUACCUUCGUCAACCUCUUCCCUUAUUGAUUCUUAAUAUCAACAAGUACAAAGGAUUGCAAAUAAAAAGCUGGGAAGAAUCAGACAAAACUCAUACAUGAUAUGCGCACAAAGUGGAAUUAGAGAUCCACACAAAUGCAAUUGUACAUAAUGAAAUCUGAACCUAAAUAUUCAAUACUCGUCUCACCUUUUGCCAACCGUGUGAAGGUUUAUUUGUAUUGAUUUGAUUAUUUUUAAUAGAUUUUUUUAUGUUUCUUAAAAUGAUAAAUGCAGUGGUUUUUUUUUUAACAAAGCGAUUAGAUUUUAAUUUUAAUUCUUUAUUUGGAAUGAUAUUAAAAAUUUAAAACAAUUUAUUUAAUAAGAAUCAAAAUAAAAAAUGAUCAUAGUCUAAGGGAAAUAGUACAUGUCACUGUUUAUAUAUAUAAUUGGAUAAGCAUGGAAUAAAUGAGGGAUUGGGGAUUAUAGAUAAAAAGCUUUUUCACAUGUGAAAGCCAUUAAAGUCUAAGAAAACUAUGAAAAUUUGCCAACAAAAACUAGACAUAUCUUCUCACCAUCCAAAUCUUGCUUAGUAAAUUAGGGCAGUUCUGGAUUUCAGCCACAUCUCAUUGUGAGGUCGGCGGGUGACAAUUUGUUUGCUCUCCUUUGGUAAAACACUUCAUUAUGUGAAAUUUUAUUGAAAGGGAAAUUGUAAUUUUUAGAAUUUUUUAAAUACGUGGUAAAGUGUAAUUUAAAAUUUAAAAUGAAUAAAACAAGUUUGAAAGUAAUUAGUUUAAUUCUUUCAAUUUUUACUCUCUAAUAAAAAUUAGAGUGUUCUAAUUAUACCCGAUUCAGCGAGACUCGUUGGUUACAUAUUUAACUAAACAUGUAAUACAUUAAAAUCUAAUUACUAUGUUACUUCCCAAAUACACCUUAAGUUAUGUUAAUUUUAUGCUUUUGUGUAAGAAUUACUGUGUUUAAUAGUUACAUUAAAUUAUGAUUAAAUUUAAAGAUAAGUCAAUUUAAACAUGAAAUAAUCUCUCCCAACAUCAUUUUCUCCGAUUUAAAUUCUUACUAUUUAAAUUCAACAUGUUAAUUUUAUUAGAUAAUAAUCCUAAAGUACAUGAACAGUACUAAGAAAAGUAAAUGCAAUGCAAAGAAAUGCUAGUCAAACGGCAUCCCAUCACGAAAUCAAGAAAGUGCCCUAGAAAUCCCAUAUAGAGGGGAAUGUUUCAUUUUCUUCUUAAUGAUCUUAAAUGGAUACAACUGGACAGUCCAAAGCCUCUAACAUAUGAAAAUGAUGUAAGGAAUAAUUGUUAUGAAAUUAUUGAAACUCUAAAAACUGGCUUAGUGGAAUGAUAUAUAUAUAUAUAUUAAAAUAAAAGAUAAACUAUAUUUAAGGUCACUAAAUUAUUGGUAAGUUUAUGUUUUAGUUACUCAAUUUAAAAAAGUUACAAAAUGAUCAUUGAACUAUUCAAAAGUUUUUCUUUUAAGUCACAAAGGUGUUUAGUUUUUUUUUUUUUAAGUUUCGUUAGUGAGCUCCAAUCGACAAUUCGACUACCGAUACAAUAGACUAGUACCCCUUGACGAGUAGAAGAAUAUACCUUAGAUCCAAGUCAAUUUGACUGCCAGUGUCAGAGAUCAAAGGAGAAAACUGUUUAAAUUUUGGUUCACAAAUUGUGAUAUUCAAAAUUGUUUCAUGAAAAAAAUGAUCUGUAAAAAAAAGAAGAAGAAUAAAACUUUCAAUUGUUGCAAACGGUGUGAAUAAAGAAGGCCAUACAACAACAAUUUUAACAUCCCAAUGACUUAAAUGAAAACUUUUGAAUAGUUCAAGGGCCAUUUUGUAACUUUUUGAAGUUGAAUGACUAAAACAUAAACUUAAUAAUAGUUUAAUGAUUUUGGGUAUAGUUUACCCUAAAAUAAAUUAUUAAAAAAUGGUAACGUUGAAAUCCAUUUGCAAACUCUAUACUAUUAUUUAAAGGGUUAAUUGAGUUGGUAUGAUUCAUCAACCAAAUCUCAACUCAGUUGUGAAGUUAUCAAAAAUUUAUUCUUUUUAUUAAACUAGCUUUUAAUGUCACAUGUGUUGCAUGUGAUUUUACAUGUUUAAUAUUUAAUCAAUUUUUUUAAAUAUUAUAUUUUUUAAUUGCAAUAAUUAAUGUGAUAAAAUAUUUCUUAUUUGAAUUAUUGAAUAUAAUUAAAAUACAUUAAACUUAUCAAUUUAAAUAUUGUAAUAGAAUUUUUUCAAAUAAUAAUUAAAGCAUUUUUAAUAUAUUCAACAUAUAAUAUAUUUUACUUUAUGUAAUUAAUGCAAAUUAAUAUUAUUCAAAAUAAUAACUAAUUAACUCUAAUAUUAAUUAAGUGAUAAUUAAGAUGCUUAGAAUUUUAUUCAGUAAUAACUCUAUUUUACAUUAAUAAAAUUAGCACUAUUUUUUUUAAAAAUAAAACUAUUACAACUUCAUUUUUAUGUCAAUUUUUUUAACUAAUAGUUAUAAUUAUAAUUAUAUUUAAUUUUUUUUGCUGUAUUUUAUGCUUAAAUUUCUAUUCAAGUGCCAUUUGAGUCUUAGCUCAGUUGGUAUUGGCAUUGGUAUUGCUGCCAAUAUAAGAGGAUGUGAGUUUGAGUGCGAUGAAGCACAUUAUCUUUUUAUUUAAGGGUGGGGGCUAUGGGUAGUUCUAGGCACUAUAUCAAAAAACAAAGACUAGGAAUCGUGAUACUAUACCCAUAUGAAAGGAAGUAAAUCUAAAAAAAAAAAAAAUCUAUUCAAGUAAUAACUCUAUUUUAAAAUUAGCAAAUCAUUUCUUAAAUAAUAAUUUUAAAUUAAAUUAUAAUUAUUUUUAAAAGUGUAAUUCUAAUAACUUCAAUUUCUAAAUAAAUUAUAAUUAUUUUUAAAAUUUGAAUUUAAUAAUUUGAUGGAAAAUAAGAUAUAUUCUCGUAAGUUCAAAGGUUCUUCUAAACUCGUGCUUUUAUAUAUAUUAUAGAUAACAAACAUUGUUAUAAAAGUAUUUCUGUCAUUGUAUAUUUUAUGUAAAAUUUAGAGAAAUAAGUAUGAUAAAAUACUAUUUUAUGAUUUAAAAAAUCACAUGGUGUGUGUGAUAGGAUAGUUAAAAUAAUGUGAGUGUGAAAAAUGAAGAAACAUAUGAAAUCAGUUGUGGAAGGAAAACAAAGAUAUGGCUGGGAUUGGCAAGUUAGUUCAACUCAUUUAAAUUUGGUUUUUCAGGGACCACUUUGGUUCAAAGACAAAGUGAUUGAUAUUUUCCCAAACCUCACUUUAGGGCAGAAGUUGAAGUGUUUAUAAAGUUUUAGGGUUUAGGGUUAAAAUAAAAUUUCGAAUAUAUGCUGACCCUGUUUGGUAAAAGAGAAAAAGAAAAGUGAAAGUUGAUGUAGGCCAAAUGUCAAUCCCACAAACUACACAACUCGAUUCAUAAUCAUAAGCUCGACCUUCUAAAGUGGGACUGUUCUACUUUUCUUUUCCUCUGGGCCACCCCUCUUAUGGACUUUUUACUACUUAAAUAUUAAAUUCUUUUAUUUUUAAUUAUUUUUGGAUUAUUUUAGUUAUAUUUAUUACAAUGUUUAUAUCUUUAGUUUGGAAGGGAUUAUGAUUAGGGAAAUGGCGAAAUUAUUAUACAUUAACUUAUAAAGAUUAAAGUUAAAAAAUGUUUAUUAGUAUACUUAAUCAUGGGUCGGGUUGACCUAAAAUUUUAGGUCCAUUUUCUAGGUUCGGGUCUGUCUUAGCUCGAAAAAUGAGUUUAAAAUUUUGUCCAAGCUCAAUCUAAAUUAAAAAUGCUAAACUCGAGCUUGACUUGGCCUACUUAUAUUAAUUUUUUUAGAUUAUUUUUUUAUGUAAAAAAAAUUAAAAUAUAUAAUACAUGAAAUACACUAAAAUUAUUAAAAUAAAUGUUCCUCGCCAAAUUGAAAUUACAUUAAAAAUAUUUAUACUUAAAUAACAUUAAGAUAAUUACAACUUAGCUAACAAAUGCCUUUAAAAUAGUAGUAAAAUUAACAAUAAAACGAGAUGUAUAUAAUAUCUAAAUAAUGACAAUAUAAUAACAAAAUAGUAGUAAAACAACAUCGAAACAUCAACAAAACAGUAGUGAAACAGUAGCAAAACAACAAUAAAAUAGUUGAUUUAGGUUAGGCCUGGGUCAAGAAAUCCUACCCGAGGCUCGACUUAUUUAGAAAAUAGAUAUUAUUUUUUGAAUAUAUAUUUUUGUUUAAGCCUUCCCAAUUUUUGAACCAACCUUCAAACUUGGACAAAUAUCAUUGGCCCAUGAUCAGAUUUAUUUAUUACUAAUUUAAUUCCCUUUUUAAAGUUUUUUUUUUCGCCAAAUAUAGUGUGUAUAAUCGUUGAAUCGAGGAUGGAAAACCUUUUCCUUUUAUAAAUUCCUUUAUUCAACUUAUUUAAUUGCGUCAUGUGCUUUUAAUUUUGAUUUUAAAUGGGUAAUACAUUUAUGUUAUAACAUUAUUUUUUAGCGAAAUAAGAAUACAAAUUAAAUAUUAGGAUGAGACUUGUAUCUCCUUCAAUUUACUCAAAGCUAUUUUUAGAGUUGGUUUGGAUGAGCGGUGGGUGUGAUACGGUGUGUUUAACUUACUUUUUAUCUCAUACUACAGUAUUUAAUUUCUUCGUCACCGCUGUUCUUACACUAACUGCAGUAAACACAUAGUAUAUCCAAACCCAUCCUUAAUAGAGUAAAAAAAAUUGAAAAAAAAAAUUAGUGGGUAGAAAAAUAGAAUGAUGAAAAUAUUUCUUUUCAUAAGCAUACUUAGUAGGAAAUGUAGAAAAAAUAAAAACACAUCCAUUGUUUGGUAGAGUUAAAAAUUGAAAUGAAAGAAAAUUGAACAUAUAAAAAAUAUAUAAUUUUGAACUAAUAUACACUUCUAUCUCGUUUUCUCUCCUCUCGUCAUUUUAUAUUGGAAGAAUUAAUUUUUUUUUGCAUUAAGAUGAAAACUAGUCAUCUCUUUUAUUUUAGUUGUUCUCACUUUUUUCCACUGUUAAAUACACUCAAAAUUUAUUUUCUUUUUACUUUUCUACUCUCUUCUUCCAUGCCUUCACUUUUCCACCUUAAGGCUAUGCUUGCUUAAGCGAAAAAGUGAAAGGUGAGAAGAAAACAAAAAAGUAAAAAGAAAAUAAAUUUUGAAUGCAUUUGGUUGAGAAGAAAAAGUGAAAGGAAAGAAAAUAGAAGUGAUGACUAUUUUCCAUCUUAAUACAUAAAAACAAAUAAUUUCAAAUUAGAAUAAUAAGAUGAGAGAAAAUGAGAGAGAAGUAUAUUAGUUCAAUUAUACAUUUUUCAAAAAAAAAUCAUUUCUUUCUUUUUAUUUUUCAACACUAUCAAACUCGCAUAUAAGAAGAAAAAAAAUAAAUUUUCUAUCUUUUUAUUUUUCAUUUCUUUUGAUUUUCUAUCUUUACAUUUUCUUCUAUUUAAAUUAUAUUGUUAAUCAAAAUUUGAAAGAAAAAAUAAACAAUUUAUUAAUAAUCCACGUAAUAAAUAAUUGAUUUUUUUAAAAAAGUGAAUCGUACAAUAAAAUUUUGAAUAAAAAAUAUUAAUGUGAUAUAAUAUUUUAUUAAUUUCAUUUUCUUCCUCAAACCAUCAAUCAAACACUUACACAUAGUUAAAGAUUAAAUUUAUGGCACAUUAUAUGGAUAAAAAAACUAUAUAACAAAUAUAUCUGUUAAAAAUUUAUAUAAAAGUUCAGAACGUGAGAGGAAACGAGGCAUUAAAGUGCUAGCAUUAUACGUUACAUGUUCACAAGUUGAAAGUUAAGACAACAAUAUAACAAAAGAUGAACGGUUCGGGGUCCUUGUCCAACAAUCGUGUUGGUAAUAAUGAUGACUUUAAUAAGGAUUGCAACACCAAAAAAGUUAGAUUUAAGGAUGGAGAAGAUGUUUCAUCAAAGAACAUGGUGGUAGACAUGGCUCCAGUAAGUGGAGUUUCAUGGAAAGAUAAGUUAUUGGGCAGGGAAAGUACUGGUUCUUUGGCCUCACCCACGAUCUCGAUUGAUUCUCUUGAUGUAGAUCUAAAUUUUGAAUAUGGGGACAUUCUUAGAUCCACCCUGAACAAAAUCCUUGCCAUCAACUUCUCAGAACGAUUCAAAAGGAUACUGGUUAAGGAUAUGGAGACUACUAUCAUCGUCAAACUUUUGGGGUGUAAUAUAGGAUAUGGCGUCCUCUAUAAUCAAAAUUCCAGUCUCUGGAAACCCUCCCAAACUUUUCAAUUAAUGGACGUGGAAAUGGCUAUUUAGUCUGGUUUCAAAAUAAAUUUGAUUACAGUAUGGCUCUAACUCAAGGUCCAUGGAUAUUGUUUGGACACUAUCUUACAGUAUAGCCCUAGACAAUGGAUUUCAUAUUGGGACCCCCGGUAUGCCCUAUGGCGUAGCGGAAAAAAAAUAUUCCAGCAAUCCAUAGCCGAGGAUCCAUGGACGAUGAAUGAAUUGAGUUGAAAUAUGGUUGAAAAUAUACCUUCUUUAUUGAAAACGUUGAGGAUGCUGCUGAUUCAAUAUUAAUUCCAAGCCACAACGAAAAUGUCCCGGCUUCUACGUAGUCCACCCCGUCAAAAACGAAUUACCACUUUCUCUUGAACUUUUUCAAAGAGAAUUAGAAAUGGUUGCUAGACCUUUUAAAUUAUUAAGUUGGUAACCUUCAUAUACUAAGGGCUUAUCUUCCUUUUAUCCUCUUUGAUAUCACAUAUUAAAAAUGCUGAAGAUGAUGCCAACUCUCAUGCCAAGCAUUCUUCUCUUCAUUUCAAUCUCAUGUUUAAAAGGUCAAUUGAAACUACAAUAAAGUUAAAUUCAAAUCUUCUUGACCCUAAUAUGCAUUCAUCCGUGACCUUUAAAGAGAAUUUAGACCCAAAUCCUACUUCAAAUUCGGGAACAGAAAGAGCAGUAAAUAGUGAAAAUUCUUUUGGUUAUUUUAAAGGGCAUGACUUUGAUAAUAACAAAAGGGAGAGGUCGUUCUGGAAGGGCUCUUAAUAAAACAUUACGUGAGCAAGAGGGAUGUUUUAAAUUAGCUGGUAACUCACGUGCCUUGCUUCUUAAAGCUAUGAAUUCUAUGGCUGAGCUCCUUAGUGUACAAGUGGAGAAUUUUACAAAUAAGGCCAAUGACCAUGAUGGUGAUGUUAAAGCAUAUGCUACUUUUUAGUGGUUGGUCCUUCUAUCCCCUUUUUAAUUUAUUUAUGAAUGUUAUUAUUUUAUCUUAGAAUUAUCAAGGUUGUGCUAGUUUAAAGUUUCUCUAGGUCUUUCGGGAAUAUAACCAAGAUCAUAAACCUGAUUUGAUUGAAAUUUUAGAAAUAAGAGUUAGUAGGAGAAAACAGAUUUGUUUAUCAUAAAGCUUGGUUUUCAAUGCUCACAUUGUGUAGAGGCUGUCAGGUUUUUGAGUGGUAUAUGGAUUGGAUAGAAGGAGUCAGUUUAUGUGGAUAUUCUUAAAAGUCAUCCUCGAUUUGUUUUAGUUAAAAUCUCUGGUAAUAAUUUCAAACAACCCUUUUUGGUUACUUUCGUAUAUGGAAGCCCUGAUAGUCGUAAAUGAAGGUAACUUUAGGGGGCCUUGCAAAGAAUUGUUCCUAUGGACAAGUCUCUAUGGAUGGCGAUUUGUGAUUUCAACGAUAUUCUUUACCUUGGAGAAAAAGAGGAGGAUGAACAUUAGGAAAAAUGUGCCCACUUUUUGGUGAUUUUAUGGAUUCAACCUAGUUACAUGAUUUAGGUUUUUGAGGUUUGCAGUUUACAUGGAAGAGAGGGGGAUUGUUGAGGGUUUGGAUAGGGUCAUUUUUAAUAAUGUUUGGAACUUUAUUUUUUCGAAUUCCAUGGUGACACAUUUGUCGCAACUUAAAUCCGACCAUAAACCAUUACAUUUGUCUCUUAUGCUCGAUUAUCACUCUUCAAGAAGGCGCCCAUUUAGAUUUUUAGCUGGUUGGGUUAAACAUCCAACCUUUUCAGAUUUCGUUAAAGAAAAUUGUGUCUCUACUAACAUGUUGACUAUUCACUUUGAUUUUACUGAGCAAGUUAAGCAAUAAAACCAUGACGUGUAUGGUCACAUUAACACUCGUAAGAAGCAAUUAACUCGAAAAUUAAAAAGCAUUGAGAUUGUGUGGGAUAGGGUAAACUCUGCCUACUUUAAUAAGGUAAAAUGGAGGUGAUAGAAGAAUUGAAAAAUGUUCUCUAUCAUAAGGAGGUGUUAUGGCGUCAAAAGGUACGUUGCGACUGGUUACUGCUAGGGGAUCAGAACACCAAUUUUUUUCAUACACGCACCUUGAGGAGAAGGAAAUAAAACAAAAUUAUCGCCUUGAGGAAUGAUUUAGGUAAGAGGAUUUUGGAUGAGGACCAGCUGAAGCUUGAAAUGGUUAACUUUUACAAGACAUUGUAUAGUGAAUAUCCUGGCCUAAUGAAAGAAUUGCCCCCUAAUGCUUUCCUGCGUCUUAAUGAGAAUAACAUUACUCUCUUAAAUAAACUAAUCUCUGAUAAGGAAAUCAAAGUUGCCCUUUUUUUUAUAUAGCUCCUUUAAAGGCUCUUAGAAGUGAUGGCUUUCAUGCCUUAUUUUAUCAGAGUCAGUGGGAACAUGUAGAUACUUCUGUUUGUAGUUGGGUCGAAGGUGUUUUUUAUGGAGAAAGUAUUAACUCGGAUUUGAAUAAUUCGCUUAUUGUGCUUAUUUCUAAAGUUUAAAAUCCGAAAGGCUUAUCUCACUUUCAUCUAAUUAGUUUAUGUUCUGUUCUUUACAAGCUUAUUGUGAAGAUCAUCACAAAUAGGUUGAAAAUGGUUUUUUCGAGACUCAUUGCUCCUAAAAAAAUUGGUUUUCUAGCAGGACGGAACAUCCCUGAUAAUAUUGUCAUUGCUCAAGAGGUUAUACACUCCAUGCGGAGUAUGCAGCAAAAUAAGAGAUGGAUGGCAAUCAAAAUUGAUUUGGGGAAAGCAUACGAUCGCGUGCGCUGGGACUUCAUUGAUGCCUCGCUUCAGGCUGUAAGUAUUCCUUUCUUUUUACGUAAUGUUAUUAUGUCUGCAAUCUCUAGUUCUACCAUGCAAGUUUUAUAGAACUAGUUCCAACUCAGAAAUUUUGACCUGCCAAAAGUGUUCUUCAAGGUUGUCCGUUAGCUCAUUAUUUGUAUAUUUUGUGUAUGGAAUGGUUAGGGCAAAGCAUCUGUGUAGCCACUAACUCCAGCAAUUGGUCCCAUAUACGUCUGCCUCGCACCAAGCCACCACUUUAACAUCUCUUUUUUGUAGAUGACUUAAUCUUACUUGGGCAUGCUGAAUAACAUCAAGCUCGUGUUAUCAAAGACAUUUUUAAUAAGUUUUAUGAAUAUUUGGGAAUCAGGUUAACAAGAGGAAAAAAAAUAUUUUCUUUUCUAAAGGCAUUGAUGGUAGUUUAGGGAGACACAUAAGCAGAUAUUUUGGUUUUCAAUAAGUGAAUAACUUGGCAUCUUAUCUUAGAGUGUCACCUUUUUAUGAGAAUGUCACUAAUAACACAUUGCGUUUCAUGGUCGAUAAGGUGCGUAGUAAACUAUCUAGCUGGAACGUCCGACAGUUGACUUUGGCUUAAUCGAUUUUGCUUUCCGUUCCAAGUUACUUCAUGCAGAAAAUGAUGAUUCCCAAAGGACUGUGUGAUGAAAUUGAGCGUAUAGUCAUAAAGUUCAUGUGAGGUCUCAUAAUGGCAGUACCAAGAUGGCUUUGAUAAGUUAUGAUUUGGUGUGCCAACCAAAAUCACAUGGAGAGCUUGGUCUAAGAUCCUUAAAAGACCAUAACACUUUGUUUAUGAUAAAGGUUGGAUUUAAUAUGAUUUCAAAUACUAAUGCCCUUUGGGUUCAAGUUCUUCGGUCGAAGUAUGGGGUUACAAAUGGUUUGCCAGAGGAUUUAUCACGAGGAUGUUGUUCUUUUAUUAUAGAGAUCCUUUUUAAGGUUUAGCCUCUCAUUUAUGAAAACUUAUUAUGGUCUAUCGGGGAAGGGAACUGUAUAAAUUACUGGCGUGACCUUCGGAUUCUAAAUUGUGGACCCUUGUUCAAUCUAAUUCCUUCUACUCCCAAUCUCAACAUGGAUUGUCCUCUUAACAAUAUGGUUACAGAGGAUGGAUCAUGAAAUCUAGAUCUUUUUAGGUGUUGGGUUUCAAAAGAGGCCAUCAAAAAAAUUAUAAAUGUUUCACUACCCCAUCCUUCAUCUAGUCUAGGAGGCUAAUUCAAUUGGCUCUUUCUCCCUCAAAAGUGCUCAUGGGAGGAUUCGAAAGAUACUUAGAAUUCAAAAUAGCCAAUUUAGGAGUUACCUUGGAAGUUUCAAGGUCUUCAAUGGAUCCACUUCUUUAUCUGUGUAACGCCUUGAAUAAUUUAUUUUUGUUUUUGUAAAUACCUGACACAAAUAUUUGUCUACUUUAGUGGUUAAGUGUUCUGAGCAUAUGUGUGUAAAGUCUUGGGUUUAAGUAUCACAUUUGUAGAUUUUGUUAUUUUUUGAUCCAAGACUUACCCUUGUUGAGCGGGCUUAUAUUAAAUUGUGUGUUAAUUCAUGUCAAAAUAAGCUUGCUGGUUCGAGUGGUAAGGGAGUUAGUGUGUUGGGGGUCCUGUGUUUGAAUCUCUGCUCAAGCAUAGAGGUUAAUUUUUGCCUCAUUUGACUGAAAGAGUUUGGAUGGGAUUAGGAGUCUGUGUGAGUGGGUGGUUGUGGAUGAGAGAAUAGUGGGGAGUUGAGAUAUAGGGAGUUAUCUAGUUUUUUUUUCAAAAAUUCAUUUUUCUCUCUCUCAGAAAAUUAUAACAUCAAAAUGCUUCUGUUUUUCCCUAUUUUGAUAUUUUCUUUCUCUUUCUUUGCAAACCUGUGCUUGUCCUUCUUGAUUCGGUUUGUCAAUCUGUUGUUCAAUCGUGCCGUUGGAAUUUUUGAGUUUUCCAUCUGAUUCAGUUAGUAGAACUAUGUUUAUUGCUAUGGUUGGUUUCGAGAUAAUACCGGUGUUUUGGCAACCACUACUUGGUGUUUAAUCGAUAAAAUCUGUGUUUAGGUGAAGGUUAUGAGGCAAAAGAUUGCUCUGCAGCAGCUUAGGGUGAGUCAAUUUUUUUUGUUUUUGGUUAAUCGUGUUAGACUAGUAAAUUAGUUGUUGAAGGAUUUGCGUACUCUGUUUUUAGGUGUUGGUGGUCUCAGGACUGGUUUUGCAUCAAAAUUGUAACAGGAAUGUUUCUAAAAAGUGAAAUAGAGCUAUUUACUAUCGAUGUCACACGAGGGUAUGGCCGACCGUGUGGGUGACUGUGUGCAAGACACGGUUGUGUGAUCAAUGAAGACAUGAUCGUGCGCAAAAAACAAUCGUGUAGUGGUGUGAGUGUGGCCGUAUGGGCCACACGGGCAUGUGGGUUUAGGCCGUGCGGGCCACACGGGCAAGGCCAAUUUGGGCGUGUGAGCCUAAAAUCUUAAAAUUUUUCUUGGGGUUGCACGGGUCGUUCCGAUCGACUAUGGGUCUACCGUAGGGCCGGUAAGGGCUAACCAAAUCCUAAAAAUAUGUGAUUUGCUGGUACAAUAUUCUGUUUUGAACAUAACACUGUUAUGCAUGUCUAAUUAACUUGAUGUAUUUAUACAUUCGAUGUCUAUAUUAGAGCAUGUGAGCAUGAUAACUCUGAUUUUGCAUGUCUGAUUGGGGUGGGAUUUAUAUAUGUGGAGGAAGUGUUUUGUAUAGCGUUCAUCGCCUAUAUUCUGGCAAAAUGGCUGCACUUUAUCUAAUAUGUGUCAUAAUGGCACGAUACGGUAUGUAGGGCUGGGUGAGUGUUUUUAACCCCACAUUGUGUGAUGGGAUGGUCAGAGUUGGUGUGUAGAGGAUGGGGGUAAGAUUCUGUUUAUUUGAUCUGCUUAUCUGUAUCUGAAAUAGACAUGAGUUUGAAUUUGUAUCUGACUGUAUAUAUAUGAAUUCUGUAUAAUUUGUAUGUCUAUUUCUGUUGGGUUAUACACUGAGUUUAUGAAAAUUCAUAUUUGUUUGUUUGUUCUAUUCAAGUAAUCCACAGACUUAGGCGGAUCGGAGCGGCAGAGACUCAGCGGUAACCACUCGAUCGAGUACUGAACAUACCUAAUAAUUUGCGAUUUUUAUUUAAAUUCCGCAUUUAAUUGAGAGUUUGUAAAUUCUGGGACUAUCUAAACUGUAUGGUUUUUUACAAUUGGUUUUGGUUUCGUUUGCUUGUUUAUUUACAUGGUUUGACAAAACGUUUUAGGAAAACGACUGUUUUACUCAAAUAAGGGUUUUUUAAAAAUACGAACUGAACUUUCAAAAUAUAAUGAGUUGUUAGACUUCCACUGUAAAUAGUGUUUUGACAAAUAAACCAAUUAAUUUACGUUUUCGACAAUGGUUAUAAACGAAUAUGAGUUAUUAAGCUGAAUUGAUUUUACGUAACGACUCCGUUUUCAAAACUCAUUCUUUAUGGCAUCUCCAGAUUCGGCCAUAGCGUCUAGGUUAGGGGUGAGCGUUCGAUCGAAUCGAAUGAAAAAUUUUAAAGUUAAUCAAGUUGACGAAUCAUAUUUUAUCAUCCUAAUUUGAUUUAAAAUUUUCUCGAAUCGAGUCGAGUGAGAUGGAAUUUGAAUCGAAUCGAAUCGAAUAUAUUUGUUCGAGUUAAAUUUUAAAAAAUAAUUUUGGGUCCUCUUAACCACUGUCACCCAUCGUAAUAAAAUUUGUCCACCGUAAUCAAAUUUUUUAUUAAUUUUCAUCACCUCAUAAUUUAUUUUUUAAUCUUUUAUAUACGGCUUAGUUCCUUUGCUUGCUUAGUUGUUUCAAUUAUCUUCAUAUUAUUGUCACUAUAUAUUUUGGAAUUAAAAUAUAUAUUAAAUGUAAAAAUGUGAUUUUUUAAUAAAAGUUAUUUUAAAGAUAAAAUGUGAAAUUGAUACCAAUAUAAAAUUUUAACACGAAUAUUUUAUGGCAUCAUUAAUAAUUCAAUUUUAAUAUAAAUAUUCAAUAUGACUAAACAAUUCAAUAAUAUAAAUAUCAUAAAAUGCGAAAUUUAAUUUAAUAAUAUAAACAGUAGAUAUAAAUAAAAUUAUUACUAUUUAUAUUUUGAGAUUUUUUUGGAUAAUUUCGAUUUUUUAUUUGAAAGUAAAGGGUGAGAAGUAAAAGUUUAGGGAAAAAUAAAAAGUUUUGGAGAGUAAAAGUUUGAGGGAAAGUAAAUAGGGGGAGUAAAAUUUUGGAGGGAAAAUAUUAAAAAAAUAGGAGGAUGGGUUUGGGGUUCAUGGACCGGGCCGGGUAGCCCGGCCUGAAGGCCCGCCCGAAAUGUGAGAGGGUUUGGGCAAAAUUAUAGACCUAAAAAAUGGGCUUGGACAAAAAAAUAAGGCCGUUUAAAAAAUGGGUUGAAUAACUCGAUUUGAACUUGAAAUUGACUUGAAUAACUCGAUUCGUUUAAAUCAAAAUUUAAUUUUUUAUUUUUUCGAGUCGAACCGAAUUUUGCUCACCCAUAGUCUAGGUCGAGUUUGGGGUGUUACAAUCUGGCUUGUCCUCAAACAACAGUUGCUUACGAAUGCUGAAAGGGUAAGGUGUGGAAUUGGGAAUAACAACGCUUGUGGUUUUAGUGGGCAUGAAUAUGAAGAGGUUUUGCAUGUUCUCAAAGAUUGUCCUGCAGUUAGGAACAUUUGGGACAAGCUCAUUCCAAAAGAAAGGCUCUUUAGAUUUUAUAGCUGAUCCCCACUUGAUUGGAUGUCUGUUAAUCUCCAAAAUCAUUAGAUUAUUUCUUUGGUAGAGGUGGAUUGAUCGUGUUUGUCUGGGAUUAUCUCUUGGCGCAUUUGGAAGAAUCGCAACUUGUUUACCUUUCAAGGUAUUUCCUAGAGUAUUAAUGAAGUCCUGAAAGUUGCCUAUAGUUGGGAAAGGCAAUAUUCUUCAAUUUUGAAGGCACCUCCUCAUAAGUUACUAUUAGAAUUGUGACAUAAAUUCUUAUUAAAAUAAAAUACAAGUGGCAAGUACGGUACAGGCUGUAUAAGAAGAAUCUGUAUAGAAGUUUACUUCUUCUGUUUGAUAUUAAUUUGAAUAAGGUGUUUCAACCUUACUAUAUUACUUCUAUUAGAUUGGAUUAGAAUAAGGUUUUCUAAACCUAUAAAUAGACGCGGUCUAUACUCUUUGUAAUCAUUCGAAUUCGACAUAGUAAAUUUUCUUCUCCUUUACUCGUAGUUUUUUUUCCCAAAAGUGUUUCCAUAUAAAAUCUGUGUGUUCUAUUUCUCUUUCUUUUCUUUGUGAUACAUUUCCGUUAUUAACAUUCUAUUUUAAUAGUUACGAAGUUCUUUCGCUAGUCCAUUUAUAGCCAACGAUUAGGUGUGUUUAAAUACGAAUGGUUCAUUUAGGAUCGAAGAGGGUUUUGCUGCAGCUGAAAGAUUAGUGUGUGAUCAUAAUGAUUGGUGGAUCAUUGGGUUUUACAGAUACUUGGGAAAUUGCGUAGUGACGAAAACUAAACUUUGGGGCAUCUUGGAUGGGUUGAAGCUUAUUUUAGAUAGGCGAUUCGAAAAAAUCUCAAUUCAAACAGACAGUCUUGAGGCUAUGAAUGCCAUCCAAGAGGGUUCUUCUAGGAACUCUAAUUCCGCGCUCGCCAGAAGAAUUCAUCAUAUCUUGAAAAUGGUUAAGCAGUGGAAAAUUCAUCAUAUUCCUCGGGAAGAAAACACAAUCGCAUACAAUCUUGUCAAUAUGGUUCGUAAUAGAAGUCUAGGAUUAAGAUUCUUUGAGGAUCCCCUUUAGGGAGCUAGUUUAAUUGUUUUGUAUUUUCUAUCUUUUCAAAAAAUAUAUAUAUAUAAAUCAAUUAAAGUUCUGGUUAUAUAUUAUGAUAAAUUUUUUUUUAUUUUUAUAUAAAAAAAAAAUAUUUUCAUAAAAGAUAUAAUUUAAUUUGUACAUGAGAAAAUAUUGUGUCGAAUUGAUUUGUAAUACCAACUUAAUAAAACGCUUAAAAUAAAUAUAUAUAAUUUUUUUCAAUAAAAGAUAGGUGUCCAAUGAUUGAACCUUGAACUAAUUUUUUUGUAGGCUUAACGAUAAAUUUGGCCACUAACAUUUACAUGUUUUGUUAAAAUGAUCCUGAUUGUAUUUUGAGUAUUUUUUGGCCAUCAACUUUUUUUUUUUUGCAAAUUACUUUUUCUAACAGAUUUGAUGAAAGUACCGUUAAAAAACUUAAAGGGGAUGAUGUGGAAUAUUUUUAAUAAGAUAUAAUUUAUUACUUAGGUAACCUAAUAAGAUAAUUACAUGAGAAAAAUAAUAAAAUAAAAAAAUCAUACAUGAAAUUUAAAAAAAUAACUCUUAAUUUAAAGAAAACAAAUAUAAUUAUUUAAAAACAAGGUUUCAAAAUAAAUAAUAUGUUUAUUUACUGAGAGGUUUCAAAAAGAUAAUUAAUAAAUCAUAUCGAAAAUAUUGAAUGUGUGCAUUCAUUUUGAAUUUUUUUUUUAGAUAAUUACGUUUAUUUUCUUUAAAUUAAGAGUUAUUUUUUAACUUCAUGGAUUAUUUUUUAUUUUAUGAUUUUUCAUAUGUAAUUAUUUUAUUGAGUUAUCUAAGUAAUGAAUUACAUCUCAUUAAAAUUAUUCAACAUUAUCCCGUUAACUUUUUUAACAAUAUUUUUAUCAAAUCAAUUAAAAAAAGUAAUUUAAAAAAAUAAAAGUUAAUGAUAAAAAAGACUAAAAAAUAUAAUUAAGGUCAUAUUAAUAAAAUAUGUAAAAGUCAGUGACUAAAUUUAUCAUUAAGUAUUUUUUAUAUCAAAACCUUUGAAAGUUUCCCUAAUACAAAUCGGUAAAAUGAUAAAUAUAUAAAAUCAACUACAAAAUAUAUAAUAUCAAGGUAAUUAAUUUAUGGUAUAGAGAAAAGAAAGUGUGUUGGAAGAUAAUUGGGGGUUAAACCCUUUUUUAAUGAUUUAGUAGAGAAAUGAUUGCAAAACCAAAAAGAAAAAAAAUGCAUAGGUAGAAGGCAUUUGUUGUAAAAUAAAUCAGUGAAGAUGACAUGUUUGAUGAUGUUAAGGGAGGGGAGCGUGCAAUAAUUCACCAACUCAAUCUCAAUCUCAAUCUCAACCGCCAAACACCCUCAUCUCUAAUGUCAUUUCAUUCUGCAGCUCAUCUAUUACUCUAGGCAAUCAAAACAUUCCACCUAUAUGUAUUACAUGAAAUUAAUGUAUUGGCCUAUUGUUUCUGUGUGUCCCUGAUUCAGCCACAUACCUUCUUUAAGACGUUUAGUGGUCCAAAAUGAUCCAUCACCUCUCUUGCUCACCAUGCAAAUUUCGAAAGGUCCUAAUUCCAGAUUAUACAUGUCUUAAUAAUAUCAUAUCUAGAGGAUAUUUACAUGAAUUAAUUAUCAUAUUCAUUUUUAUGAGAUAACUUUCCGACCCAACCCCUUUGACUUCAUCUUCUUCCCAUCCCAAAUCUAAGCAAUACUGCAGAAACAGUAAAUAUUUGCCCUCUUGAAUGGAUACCCAGUGCAUAUCCUAUUAUUAUUUAUUGAUCAUUGAGGUGUUAUGUGACAAAUCAGCAACAUUGAAUGUAUAUUCAUGGCUGACGAUUUUGUUGGAUGAGUUAAUGCUGGUUUAAAGAGCUAGUGGACUAUAUUUUGUAAAUAUAUUAGUUUUCAGCCAAUCAAAAAAUUAAUAUUUAUACAUAUUUUAAAUAAUUUAAAGAUGAUAUUAAAGUAACAAGUUAGUUGAGUCUAUUAAUCUGUUGACUUGGUUAAUUGUUUUUGUUAAGUCGAUUGAUUCAAUUACAAUUACUGUUAGCAGCAUUCAUUAACAUGUAUAUAAACUCUAAUUGUCUAUGUGCAUAAUAAGGGUUCUGAUUCUCUAAAUUAUUGCUUUUCUUGCCUUUUUUUAUUUUCAGUUGCUUUAUCAGUUUUAUAUCUUUUAGCUAUAGUUAAACACGUUCUCUGUUCCGUUUCUCUUCUUUUGAAAAUUUUGAUUUCCGUGCUUCAUAAAAUACAUUUCUUUUCUCUUUGGUGCUAAAAUUUUUAUUCAUUUUUUGUUAUAACGACCCAACAGUAAAAAGUAAUGCUAAUUUUUUAUUAUUAUAUAUUUUCAAUAUUUUUGCUUUUAGGCUCUGUUUAUAUUUUCCAACAAUGGUCUUUAAAUAUAGUCAAACUAUAUUACAUCUUUUCAAUUCCAAUGCUUAGUAUGUUCUCAAUUAUAUGAUCUAGUCUAAUUUUUAUUUUUGGUUUGCAAUAGCUACGAUGAAAUCGGAUUGUGAUAUUAAGGGAUGAGAUAAAAAUUAGCUCGACUUUCCUGCCUUAUAAAGACAAAAUGGCAGCUUUCGAGAUGUACAAAUAUCUGGCUGAACAUCAUGACGAUCACAUAUUGAGCUGUCAUCAACUUGUAUACUAUCAAGACGAAUAGUUGCUUGCAUUAGAAUGCUUAUAAAAAUGUAGUAACGUAUUUAGUGAAAAGAUGAAGUGGAAAGAUAGUUAUCCAAACUAGAGUGAGAAUAAAUGGUUCAAUUACAUUAGAGAAAAUUUCUAUAAGAUUUUCCACGAUGUUGCUCGUAUUUAGGCCUAUUAGAAAUUUGAUAAGCUCAACACACCUACUAAAGAGGACCUAGGAUCUACAACUAAUACUACAUCAACUUUUUGAAGUCGGUUAACUUUUUAUUUUCUAACUUCUUAGUGCACUAUAAUACUCAAGCAGCAAAGCCGACUAUAUAUCAUUCAGGUGGCAGAGCCGACCAUAUAUUAAAGCCAACCCAAGUGCAUUAACUACUUAAUUAGAAAUCUAAGGCUUAACCGAGACUUACAAUUACAAGAGAAGAAAACACUUUUAUUAAUACACAAUACAAUUACAUAUGAUACACACUUACCUCACUACUCUUCUCUUCUUUACCUCUACCUCUCACACUCUCUUGCUUAUAGCUCUCUCUUAUAUCAUAGCAAGAAUGAAAGCUUGCACCCCUAUUUAUAGAGUUUAGAAUCGUUGGAUUGUUGAUAGAUGUCAACAUUUUUGCCAUUGAUUUUACAAAUAUCUAAUAGCUAGAAUGUUCAUCUAGAAUAUCUAGUCUUUUAGAUAAUAUCUUAUUUCUCAUAUUCUAGAAUCAUC
This 50397-nucleotide long non-coding RNA is filed under the name Gossypium barbadense (sea-island cotton). RNAcentral describes it as "long non-coding RNA (GBAR_LNC001256)". The stretch from base 29777 to 29909 matches the Rfam family "MIR7502 microRNA precursor family". Lineage: Eukaryota; Viridiplantae; Streptophyta; Magnoliopsida; Malvales; Malvaceae. The record is from RNAcentral.